This 67286-nucleotide long non-coding RNA is filed under the name Eucalyptus grandis. RNAcentral describes it as "long non-coding RNA (EGRA_LNC003661)". The record is from RNAcentral. Lineage: Eukaryota; Viridiplantae; Streptophyta; Magnoliopsida; Myrtales; Myrtaceae.
CCGAACCAAUAAACAAAAGUCUUCCCAUACCUGAGGGACCAGUGGUGGUAGAAAGGAGCCACCCGGUGGAGGAUACUGUGGUCAAAGGGCAUGGGCUUCAACUGAGCCUCCAGGAACAGGCGCCUGAUCUCCGCUGUGUUGCCGAGGAUAGGAUGGUAGCCGGGGCCCCGGAUGCCUUGCGCCGUGAAGUGGAGCUGUAGCUUUAAAGGGAUACAUAGAUUGGAGUACGUGAACUUUAAGAGGAGGAUGAGGAUUAGCAAGAGGACUGGAACAAGAAGCAAUAGCAUAGUUGAUGGAGGGAGGGAGGGAGGGAGAGGGAGAGAGGGAGGGUAAUGGAGACCAAGGAAGUCCACAGGGAGGAGUUGAAGAAUAUAGAGUAAAGAUAAUGAUAUCUUUGCGACCGUGAUCUGGAGGAGUAGAGCAAGUUGUGCAUCUUUUAAUAGAAAAAAGGUCAAACUUGAAUGUCAUGCUUUUUCUAAAUAAUUUGAUGGUUUUGAGGCGAAAUAUAUAUAUAAUAUUCUGGGUCCCCCAUGCCACUUUUUAAACCUAAUAAAAAAAUACUAUGCAUUUAGAUUGAUUGUGCAUUUCAACAGAAAUACACCCUUUGUAAACGACAAAAUUUCUUUACCAGGUCACUAGGUAAGCACUCAUUUAAAAAUAGUUUCUCAUUAUGUAUGAUCAAUUGGAAAUAAGGAAAUAAUAGAGUUAAUUUAUUUACGAAUGUCUCAGGAUAGGUUUGAUGAUUACUCCAAAUCGACUUGCUUGUUUUCAAUUUUUCGAGUGGAGCUCAAGUUACUCAAGUAUCUUAUUGACUAGAGCUUUGGUUCGCCAAUAUUAAACUCGAUUCAAUUACAGUCGAGUCCAAUUUGAGUAUUUUGAAUAUCAGUUUGAGUCAAGCUUGAGUCAAAAUUGUGAUAUUUGAUCGAGCUUCAACUCAAGUUUUAAGUAUUGAUGUAACGGCCAGCUCAACUCGAAUGCACCCUGAGAAGAUCUUAUUUUGCUGGCCCAAAAAAGACAUUUCCGUAUAUACCAAGUCUUGUGUUUAAGAAUUAAAGCCUUGAAUCUCGCUUUAUCCAUGAAAACGGAUUGGAUUUUUGCUAGACUGCUAAUGAGGAUUGACCUACGCAUGAUGAUGACAGGGGAACAGAGUAAAUUUUUUUUUUUUUUUUAGAGAGAGAGAGAGAGAGAGAGAGAGAGAGAGAGAAGGUUUCUUUGGGGUUUAUGUGGUUUAUUCCUAAAAGUUCAUCGCUACUAAAAAUGAAUGAAUGUAGCUUUUUGCAAGUUUUUAGUAGCCAUUCGUACUCUUCUCCCACCCGAUUAGUUGGGUACCCCCGUAAAUCCACCUCAUCGGGGCAUGUAAAUUGCGCUCACAAACACGAGAGCAACUAAGAGCAUCUUCUAACUUUGUUUAUCCUGUUUUGCCACAUCGGUAAAAUAGAUGUUUAAUGCAACUUUCCAGCAGCUAAGAACAUUUGCAUAAAUAAAAUUAGGGCAGAACCAACCAAAAAGUUUAAACUAAUAAGUGGAGGGCGACCACAUGUCUAUUAAGAGCAUUGGAUUCACUUGAAAGAUGAUAGAACCUAACUUUAAUAUCAUGUUAAAAAGUCCAACUUAAAAGUUUAAGUUGAUAGGUAAACGAAAAUCCCCAUACAUAAAGAACAUAAAAAUCCAUUUCUAAGUAACGUGAGAUAUUUCAAUAGAAACUUUCAAGGUAAUGAGAAGUGAGUCAAGUUUCAUGAUGUAUGAAAGGAGAACAUAAACCAAUCGGUUUACCAUCAAGUACAAUGAGUGGACAUUUUUAAGUGAGGUUUUCAUCUUCGAAUCAAUUUAGGGCCAAAGGAACAUUGUUUCUGCACGCUUUUGCUAACUCCAUUUCCCAAUGGUCCAUGCUAGACGAUUCAUAUUAAAUUAAUGCCAAGCCAGAUUUUUCUGAAGGGGAAAUUGCUAACUUCAUUCAAGUAAACAGUUUUUAAAAGUUACGACACUUAAACAAUCAAAUAUACAAAGUGAGUGGAACACCAAAGUUGCAGCAUUUGUGCUGUCAUUUUCAUGAGUUCUUCCUAAAUCAGGAAGGUUUCAAUCAAAUGAGCUAUGACUUAAAUUUCACUAAAAUAAUUUUAUUAGCACUUGAUGUAUUAUAAGAUGAGAUCAUACAUAAUAUAGUUAUAUUAUACAGUGUUUGGAUGAAAUAGAUUAAUUAGUGGAUUAGGUUGUAUCUGAUGCAUAUCCCUUUAUUUAAUUAAAAAAUAUGAAAAUUAAUUAAUAAAUAAAAUAUAGCAUGUUGAUUAUAUAAAAAAUGUGAGGCAACCAAAAUUUUAGUUUAUCAUCGGUAGGGACACUAUUGUUGACAUAAUAACCUCCAUACAAAAUGCUGACAUGAAUAGAAAAUGGACGAUUCAAAUAGCAUCCGCUAAUAUCAUUGAAAACAUUGUUAAAAAUACUUGUAAGACAAGGUUUUAUAAAAAAAACAUGAGGAAGCAUCAAGAAAACAACAAAUAUUUUUUUGGUUUUAACCCUACGUCAUAGAAAGAAUAGGAAAGGACCCUAUUGAACUAUUUUAAAUUUAAAAAAUAUCAGUAGGCCUAGCUUACAAAUCUAUUUGAACUAUCAACGAAUUCCUAGAAUUUUAGGUAAGACAGGGAUUAUAAUUCUUUCUACUUCUAGGUAAUCUGCCAUAAAUCAAGAGGUAACUUAUGCUUCUAGCGUGUCCUUAAACUAAAUUAUGAUAAUCCCCUUAAUGCUUUAGAACUAAAAUCACGAAUCAGAUGAUCUAACCAGUCUUGAUGUUUGUAUGUUGCAGCGUAUACAGACUAAGAAAAUCCAAACUAAUUAUUGAUGUCAGCAAGAACAUGAGAUUAUUAAGUGACUUCACCACCAACUGCAGGCAUAGUAAAAAACAAAAAAGAAUAAAUGAAUCAAUGAAGCAAGACGCAAAGUACAAUGUAAUGAUCGUUAACAGAGUUUCCCACAGUAAGUGGUUAAUACACAAGCAUCCGGAGCCUGAGCAUGAAUUUCACUGGCAAUUCUGCGAAUGGAAUCGUAAUGUUCUGAAUUCAGCAGCUGAAAUCGAUCAUGACUGACAUGAGGUUCCUUUUAUCUUCGAUCAUUCUUUGCAUGGUAAGUAUUGCCAGCUCAAGAUCUCUAUUUGCAGAUGGUCCUCUGGCACAGUGCUGCUGUUGCAUGUUAAAUUGUCUUUGCAAAUAUACAGGAUCGUUGUGAACAUGCCAAGCAAAAGUAAUACCGGACCGCGAGACCGCAUGACAGCAUGGUACAGCAUAUGAUACAAAUCGUGGGUCUGAGAAGUGUUCGUCGGAUUUUGGAUGGUCAGCUCUUGCGAAGGAAAAGACCGCACCUCACGCACGUUAGUUUGAAUGAGAACCUAGCGAGACAAAAAGGCUGAUCAAUGACUAGUUGCAAAACUAUGUUCUGAGAUUAUAUCGAGGUUUCAGCAUGUUUAAUGAAUACACCAGUCCGAGGACUGGUGUAUACCAAAAGCACGCAAGCAAUCACAGAUUUGCAAAACUGUGGGACUAAUAUUGUAUUGAAGGAGCCACUUGAAAUGCCGAACCAACGCACUAUACCACUCAUAUGUCCCAUGUGAACGCUCGUCUUAUAAUCUGUCACCUUACUUUAUACCUUAUUUGCCGACCGGCUAUAGUACUUCUAACAUCAGCCACUUUUCAGAUAUUGACUCGGAAAUGAUUUCAUACGAGGGACAUUAUCAACUCGAGAAAGGUUCAGGUGCAAUUGAGCUUCCCCUUACACACGGUCAUUAUAUCGCUGUUUUUAAUUAUCGCGUGCGUAGUUUAACUUAUAGACAUUAUGGAAGAAAUCCUACGUCGACUUAACCUCUCUUCCUCCCUCCUAUUUAACUCUCCUCGCUGCCUCCACCACUCCACCACCUUACCGCCGUGCCGAUUGUUAAAGAAAUAAAACAGAUAUUAAAAGUACAGAUGAAUGAAGAAGCUGAUGAUAGUAGAAAAGCUGAACCUGAGGAAGUUACUGAGGCAGAGGAAGCUGAAGCAGAGGAAGGUCGCAAACUUCUAAACGAAACUCAAAGUAGAAAAGAAGAUGAGCUGGCGAUCCUGAGCUGAACUGAUGAGCUGGCGAUCCAUGACAUCAAAACCUGGAAUACAGAAGCUGAUCAAGCUAACUGAAGGAGCUGCACAACCAGAGGAAAUGCACGUGUUUCUCAUUUUAGCUAUUCUGUUGUAACAGUUCUAUAACAGAAGUUGUUAAACAAGUGUUGAGUAUAAAAGGAUAAGUGAAGGAGAGAAGAGUUAAGUGUGUUAGUUCAUUGUUUUUCCUUCUGAUUUUCCUCGAUUCAUCUUUAGAUUUCUCUCUUCUACUUCUGUAUUCGAUAAUGAUUGAAGUCAUGUAAAAGAUGAACCAGAAGUUUUGAAGAAGAAUAUCAGAGCUGAGGUAUUUCCAUUGAUUGUUCAGGUUCUACAAUUCUCUCAUACACAGGUCAUGUUCUAUCUUCCAUUUCUUCUCACCGAUCACUGCUUUAGAUGUCGACAUUGCAUUCACUGUACUAGUAUAUGACCACCAUCACAGAAUCCCCGGCUAAAACCAUAGAUCGGUGGGGAGAAGAAUGGAGGAGCCAUGAUCAUGGUCCAUAUGAAAAAAGAGAGAUUAGGUGUCGUCCCCAUUCUUGUUGGUUUUAUAUUUUUAUAACAGGUUUAAGUCGUUUUAUGUCUAAGGCUGUUCCUUUCAAGUAGGAGGACAAUUUUGUCAUUUCCAUUAUCUUUGUAGGAUUUGGGAUGUGACAUUAGGAUAAAGAUUGGAGAGGAUAGAAUCUUUGUUGGGAGCGUUAAACCCACAUUUACUUAAAAGCAAGCUUAAACCAAUAAGUCUCCCUCAUGUGUACCCUAAAACCACAUUGGUAACUAGGUUACCAUUUGUUACUUUGAUAUUAUUUGUUGGAAGCAACCACUGGAUUUCUUGGUAGAAAUCCAAUAUAUUUAUCCAAAGAAAUAUAUCUAGUUGGACUCAUCUUUACUAAAAAUUUCAAACCAACGAGUUAUGAGCAACUAUGAUUGUUAACCGAACCACACCACAUCAACUAUCCAAUAUAGGACUUUCCUAACACAACUCAAUAAUAUUAUCAUCACGUUUAAAAUUAAUGUUAGGAUUACUCCCCUUUCGGGUAUCGUUACACAUGAGCAUGUCUCCACUUCAGUUUUUUUGGGGAAAGUGACAGAAAAAUAAACAUGUUGCAUUGAUGAUAACUUAGCCCUAAACUUUUUAUUAGUGUCAAAUCAAUUAUAAACCUUUUAAACUAGCGUCAAUUCAGUUCUUCUGGCUAAUUUUGACCUUUACGUGGCACAUUUGGCACUAACGUUGAUAACUUUUAAUGAUUUUCAUUUUUUUCAAAAUUUAUUUAUUUUUAUUUAUUUUUUCCUUUUUCCUUUUUCCCGUUUUUCUCCUUCCCUUCUUCCCUCAACCGGAAGGAAGAAGAAAGGACCAGAGAAAAAAAAAAGUGAAUAGAGAGAGACAGGGAGGGAGGGAGGGAGACGAAUAGAGGUGAGGAGUGGUGAAGGCAUGAUGGUGCGGCGUGAUUGUGCGAUUAUCACCAAUUUCGACACAUCCCACUGCUUUGAAACCAUAAUUUGGAAUGUAAACAUACUGCCAUCGCCACCGCCACCAUCAUGGGCAAUUGCACAACGAAGAACCAGUAGUGGAGCACCUAAAGCUUAGAAUUGACCGUAUUCGAAGUCACCGACAUACUCUCCCAAUUGAGCUUAGGCCGGGACAGAGCUAAGGCAAUCGAGAGCUCCAAGUUGAGCUCGCUUCAGCUGUGGGCUGGCCGUCCAUUUCACAACGGCUUCUACACAAAGCAAGGAACAAAGUUAUUAGUAACUAGCAAGUACAGUGAACGAUAACCGAAAUCAACAUCUUGAUGACCAUAACAUGUAAGAUGAUUAGCAAUGAUUGGACUGCCACGAUAGAAGGGAAUAUUUGGUCAAAAAUAUUUUAUUGCAUUACGACAAUACUGAGAUAUGAUUUAUAAGCACACCCCAUUUGCUAAUUACAUUAUCAUCACAUAUCCAAUUCUUUUAAGUCUUUUAAGUCAUAACAAUUUAUUUUUUUUGGCAAAGUGAAAUAUUUUUAUUUAACUAACUAGAGAAAGAUAAUACUUCUAUACAUAAAACAUCCCAAAAAGCUUGGGGAGAAGAUAAGACAACGUAUGAUAUAAGAUUACGUUUGGUUGUCCGAAUUUCUAAUCAGGAUAGGAUUUGAUAGAAUAUAAUAUGAAAUCAAGAAUUUUACUAUAUUCUAUCCAUUGUUCGGUGAUUACAAUAAGAUAUAUUUAUAUCAUAUCAUGUAUAUUAUUUGGUAUAAAUGGUAUAUUAGUAUAAAUGAACCUAAAAUUUUACAAAUGGAGAUAGUGAAAAUUUUCACGACACUUUUGCAAACUUUAUUUUUAUUUUCUUUUUAUAUUUUACUUUCAUCUCUUUUUUUAAUUAAUCUUUUUGCUAUUUCUUUCUUCCCAUUCUAUCAUUCUCUAAUAAAAUUUUAUUAAAUAGUAAACUAUACUAAUAUAUCUAAAAUACUAAAAUACCUAAAAUAUGUAAUAAAUAUAAAUUUAUAUUUAUAUUUAUAUAUUGAAUUUAUAUUCUAAAAUAGAAUUAAAUUCAAAUAUAUAAGUAAAAGUAAGAUUAAAUUAAAAUAACUAAAUUCUUAUUUUUAUUUGAAUUUCUUAUAUUAGAAUUCAAAUAUUAUGUAUAUACUAAAAUAUAAUUUUUUUUUGGUCAAAUAAUUUUAAUUUUGUUAAUUUUGUUAAUUUAAAAAGUUAUUUAUUCGAAAAAAAUAACUUUCCUAAUAUAGAUGUUAGAAAUCCUGUCCACAUUUAUCUCACCUCUCUAUGAAAUAAUUUUAUCCGAUCUAUAUUCUCCUUAUAUCCGACUUUAUUAUAUAUUGAGUAGACACCAAAUAUAGAAUAUGAUAAAUUUUAUCUUAUCCUAAAUUUUAUCCUAACUGCUAAACAUAGCCUAAGUGCACAAAUUUGAAACACCUGAGAAAUGGGCUAAACUUAGAACAAAGGAGUCACAAAGCUCUACCAAAUUACAGCACAUUAUUUUUAUGAUGCAAACACAAAAUGAAGUUUCUAUCUCAAGAACCCUAAAAAAUUGUCUUCCCUCACACUAUGCGACCAUGUUACAAACAGAAGUCCACAAACAAAAGGAAGAAAGAUGAACCAGAUAUGAGUCCUCCCGAAGAUGAUCGCGCCCCGUACUGAGGCUGCACGGCCACAAGAGGCAUCGGAGCAUGAACAUACGAAGGCAACACCUCAAAGGCGAAUCGCCUAACCAGCAUGGCUAGAACAACCUGAGCCUCGACCAUGGCCAAGUUCUGGCCUACGCAGGUUCUGGGCCGAGCCCGAAUGCAAGGAACGCGGCCUGGUGCUUCCGGGGCUUUGCGAAUCUUGCCGGGUUGAACUCGUCUGCGUCUUCGCCCCAUAUCUUGGUGUCGCAAUGCACAGAAGGGAAGGCCAAGUAGAGCUCCAUUUUUGCCGGAAUUUGAAGGUCUCCUAGCUGCACAUCUUUAAGGGUUUGCCUUGUCACCGUCCCCGCAAGAGAGUACAGUCUGAGUGUUUCAUUCAAUACUAUCGUUGUCUGUUCAAAAAAAGGACAGAAGAAAGACGUAUUGAGUGAACCCAAAAUGUUUAAUUUUUUAGUCAAGCUAAACUUUCAAAACUUAGGCCAAUGGAGUGGCGUAAUAGGUUAUUAGGAAAAUUUACAUAAGACAAAUGCCAGUUGAUAGCAGUGAGCACGUUCGAAUAGUGAAUUUAGAGCAUUAAAUUGACCCUAAUCGAAGAAUGAACCCACUAGGCGAUACCUUAGCUAUACCUAUAUAAUUAAUUGGGACCGCACCUCCAUGUAUAACAUAACAAACACUGGAAGAUAGUCUCCAUGUCAUGUACAAUUUCUUCUUAAAUAGGCAAGUGAGACAAUUCAAACUUCUUGCUUGAAUGUGCACAGAAGUUCUUCAUCACACAGGUCAAAUUAUUAAAUUACCACCAUCUCAUCCUCGGAUUGGUCCUGGGAUUUGAUGAUGGAGUUUCAAACCUUUUCUUCCAACUAAGAAGCUAGCCCAAGUUCGACAAACAAUGAUUUUUAUUCAUUAGAUAGCAAACAACCAAUGAAGAAAACUAAACGUGCCUAUUUGUAGUAAUGUGGCUAGUGAGGAAUAGUGAUUAACUUACAAUCUUGAGCUCGUUCAGAUUUUCAGCACCUGGAAGCCCGGUUUUCCCACAGACGCGGAUCACUUCUUCCCGGGCCUUGUCCUGCCAUUCCUGGUGCUUCGCCAGAAGGAGAAGCGCCCAAGUGAGGAGCGUGGCCGUCGUUUCUUUUCCCGCGAAGUAAAAAGUCUUGCAUUCGUCUAUGACCUCCUCCAUUCCUAAUCUUUCUUCUUCGUGGGAUGAUGUUAGGAGAGUGAGAAAAUUGGACAAAUUCUCUCUCGAUUUCAAGUUGUUCUGCAUCAGCUUCCGGACCGCGUGCCGUAUUUCCUUCUCUAGUCUCCAUCUCUGCCCAUUCUUCCGAGUCGGUAGGAACCUACAUAUUGAGUGGAACAUGUGAUCAUCUAAUCUUCAAUGGAUAUGAAGACUCCAGGCAGAGGAAGAGAGGUAAUUUAGGACUGCUCUAAAAAGUAGAAAGGUAAUGAUUCGUGAUUAAACAAAAGACACAUCAUUGAAUCGUGACUUUUCCCAAAAAUAGAAUCAAGAAAGACUUUUCCCAGAAAUAGAAACUGAUAUUGCUAGUAUAAGUACCUAGAGGGGGGUGAAUAGGUAUAUAAAAGAUUUUUCUUCGAUAAUUGCACAAUACUAGACAGUUGAUGGAUUUGAGACAAACGAUAAUCAAAGUAAGACUGAGAGAAGAGAAAAUUGAACACGCGGUUUAUAAUGGUUCAGCUUAUAUCAAGCCUACGUCCACUCUUCUUCACUGACAGCCUAUUAGCUGGAUUCCACUAUGAACAAGAGAGAAGUUACAACAUAGCUUUGCCUUGAUUCCACAGUGUAGAUGUUCUACCACACCUCCUCAAGAUUUCUCACACAUAUAAACUCUCUUUUGUAUACAAGUAUUCGCUCAGAGUAAUUGUCUAAACAAAAAGGAGCUUCAGACUUUGGAAUUCUUCCAUCGCGCACACCUUGAACAACUAAGACCGUCUUCCUUAUAUACUCAUUUAUGCCAUCAUACCCGUUGGCACUUACCAAAGGAAUUCCUCCAAUCUACCCGUUGGACGGAAUCAAUUAGGAAGAUUGUUCGAGCUAUUAAAGGAACGUGUCGAUAGCCCAUCAAUCCUGUUCGCCCAUACAAUCAGGAUCUCGGUUUCCAUAAGUAGAACCUUCCAAUAAUAUUUAGGCAAUCACCGGAUCUUCAAUUAUCGAGUCAAUCUUCGAUCAAUCAAAGGACUCCGUUAUGUCUUUUCCAGCCAUGAGAUCUUCUCCAGUUGAUAAGGUUAAAUCCUUAACGAAACAUCCAGUUCUGGAUAACAUUUCUUCAAUGGAUUAGAGACUGUCAAUGAGGAUAGACUUUGAGUCUUGAGUCUGGCUGUCCGGAGGUCUUCAAACUUUAAAUAGCAGAGUCUGCAAGCCUUCAGACUAGACUGAUGGAAACGUUUUGUCAGCUUCAAAACACUUCAAGAAGAUUUCUCCAACAAUCUCCCCCUUUUUGAUGGUGACAAAACUUUCCUGCAGAUUUGGAUAACUUUGACCUGUAAAACAUUUCUCAAACACAUAUGUAUAUCUUAUAGAGAUAAAUGGCUAAAUGAAUAACGCUAGAAUCUGCAACCACAGAAAAUAGGUUAGUCUAGUGUACGAUAAAGCCAUCCAUAAGAUAUAAAUACUAGUUAAUAGAAGCAGUCAAGUCCAAGUCUAGUUCAGUUCCCAUCCAGACACAAAACAAAGUCAUACAGAGUUCAAACAACAAAACAAAUUCAACAAAAAGUUUAACAAUUGAAAGUUUGUUCAAAUCUUGCAUCUCUCCCCCUUUUUGUCAGCAUAAAAAAGGACUAGAUGAAGUCAAGAUUGCUUGGAAACACGGACAAGCUAGAAAUUUUCCAUAGACUGAACGAUGCCUUCCAGCCUUUUAAAGUCUUCCUUUAGUUGUGCAAUCUCUUCACCCUUGGCAUUGGCCUGAAUCUGAACAGAGAGGGCUUGGAUCUUAUCAUUCAAUGAACAUGAAGAAACUUGACCCGCAUUUUGCAAGUUUCGAACCUCACAACCCAAGGCAUAAAUUUGACCUCGCAUCUCCAAGAGAAUAUCCAUGAUUCUGCGAAAAUCUGCUGUAUUAUCAGUCUGAGUACUUGCUUCAGCCCUAUCUGAUGGAGUAAAUGCAGACGAUGGUAGAUCAACAUAAUCUCACAGGUUUGGCAAUGAGACUUCAUGACCUUCCUCUGGAAACUGAGCGGCAUAAACAUCCUCUGGGUCUGCAGGUGAGCGACUGACUCCUUCACUUGCAUCAUGAUAUGAAGACUUCACUCCUUUCUCCUGAUCUCCCCCUGUUUCCAUGCCUAUAGGUGGAGAAGAGUGUUCCUCAGGUUCUCUUUCUUCUCUUCUUUCUUCUUCAGGUCUUUCCUCCUCUGCUUCUUUUUCAGCUUCUCUUUCUUCUUCUUCCUUCUCCUCUGCUUCUUUCGUCAUUUGUUCCGAUUCUUUCUGUGGAAUAGGACGACUUAAAUUCUUCAAAGCCAUUGCAGAGAUGGUGAUGUCUUCCUCAUCAUCUUCAUCCUCAACGAGGAGAGCUCUUCUUCUCUUGGAUGGAGCAACCAUGGGCUCCUUCCCUUUUCUUUUAGUUGCAGAAGAGAUUUGAUGAGAUUUGGCAGGAUUUUUCUCCUUGAAUUUCUCCAACUCCUUGCUCAAUUCCUUCAGACGCCUUUUGGUCACCAUUUUCAGUCCUACCACCAUAUGAUCGCAUGGUCGAACACAAAAGAUUUGCGGAGGCUGAAUAUUCAAAUGUCUGAAUAACUUCGUAACAAGGCUUGGAUAAGGGAGUUGACCUCUGUCCUUCAUCAUUGCUCUAUACAUGUGAAACAUAACAAUGUGAGGGAGAGAAAACCUUUUCCCAAAGAGGAUGGCAUACAUCAGCUUGGCCUCUGAACUUGAAACAUCAGUCUUGGAAGUUGAUUUCGGUCGGAGGCAAUUAAUCACAAUCUUGUGAAGCAAGAUGUUGAAUGCACUCAUCCUUAAGUAGGUGAUCUUUUCAUCUGUUCUCCUGUCCUUCACCAGUUCCAGUGUGGCCCGAGCAAUGGAAACUUUGAUUGGUUGAUAUCUUCCUCUUUCAACUCCUAACACAUCUGCCAGCAUAUUCAUAUCCACAACAUAGUCAUGGUCUUUAACGCUGAAAGAGAAUCUAUUCGCAUAAAAAAAGCUAAGAUUUGAAUAGAAAUAUGCAGUUAAUUCAGCAUANNNNNNNNNNNNNNNNNNNNNNNNNNNNNNNNNNNNNNNNNNNNNNNNNNNNNNNNNNNNNNNNNNNNNNNNNNNNNNNNNNNNNNNNNNNNNNNNNNNNUCAGAGCAGAACUUUUCAAGUGAAGAUAACUGAACUUUUCCCUCAAUUCACAUUCACAGCAUCCAGAAAUCAAAAUCCACACUCCUAGGGUUUAUUACCCCAUGCUUCAGCAAUUUUGAGUACAUAUCCUUUUGUUCCUUCGAUCUGAACAAAUCUCCCAUUUUUCCUUGAUUUUCAACCGCAAUACCCAUUUUCGGUUGAAAUUGACUGUACAAUUUGUCAUCAUCAUUCCCAUCUACAGGAUUCGGCCCCCAGUCACGAGGAUCACUUGGGAUAUUCGCAAGGGUUUCUUCAACCACCCCUUUACGAGCAAUUCCCAAACUUUCCAUUUUUCGCAGAAAGAUAUAUUCGUUCCCAUGUCCUUUGUCUUUAAGAAAAUCAUCAACAUAGUUCAAAGGAGUACGAAUUCCUUUUAAGGCACGAUAUAGCUGGUAAAUAUAAGCAGGCUUUUGAACUCUUACAGGGUCUGCAUCCUCGAUGAUUUCUUCCUGUUGUUGAUUAUCAGCGCCUUGAGGACUAGAUGGAGGAGAAUGACGUUGCUGAGAGUGUUGUGGGCUCGGUUGCUGUUCUGGAGACACUUCUUCUUCAGUAAGAUCGAAGUGCGUAGGCCCCUCACUCAUUCGCCGUGGUCCCCUGCUUGCGAUUCUCGAAGACUUUCUUGAAGAUGACAUCUUUCUCAGUUUUUGGAAGAUUCCUUGCUUGACUUUCCCAAGAAAAAUGACAACUUUCUGAAGAUUAAACAAAGAAGACAAACGGUAAUGGAGGAUCGAUGCUUUCUAGGGUUUUUGAGAGUAAAGUGAAGAGGAAUCGACAGUGCACGAUCAAUUAAAAAGAGAGAUAAACGAACCGUCACAAAUGAAAUAAAAAAUAUGCCUUUUCAAAAUAACUGUCUUUUUCCGCAAAAAUAGCCAUUUCAAAAAUAACUUCCUCUUUGAAAAUGAAAUGAUGCAAUAAUUACGUCGAUUAAAAUAUAGCAACAAUUUAAACACAGUCUGACGAUCGUACCUUUUCAAGAUGAGAUUAAAGAGAGAAAGACUUACAGUCUGACGGUCGUACCAAGACUAUCUUACAGAUAAAGUCUUGUAAGUCUGAGUCUGAAAGUCUUUAGACUUUGAUAUCUUCAUACCUCAAAAUGUUGAGUCUGGAACGGAUAGAUUCAAAUUGAUAUUUCUCCAAAGGCUUUGUGAAUAUAUCCGCUAGUUGGUUCUUUGAGUCAACAAAUUGAAUUGAAACAUCUCCAUUUUGAACAUGGUCUCUAAUAAAGUGAUGUCGAAUCUCUAUAUGCUUUGCUCUUGAGUGGAGAAUUGGAUUUUUGGUGAGGUUGAUAGCGCUGGUGUUGUCGCAAUUAAUCUCUGUGCAUGAGUCUUUAAUUUCAAAGUCUUUUAGCUGUUGUUUUAUCCAUAGAAUUUGCGAACAGCAACUUCCAAGGGCUACAUACUAUGCUUCUGUUGUUGAAAGAGACACAGUGCUUUGUUUCCUUAAAAACCAAGACACUGUCCUGCUUCCAAGCAACUGGCAAGUUCCCGAAGUGCUCUUUCUAUCAACUUUGCAACCGGCCAAAUCUGCGUCUGAAUAUCCCAGAAGAUUAAAGUCUCCCUUCUUAGGAUACCAAAGACCGAUGCUUGAUGAUGAAGCGACAUAUUUAAUGAUACCUUUCGCAGCACUGAGAUGGGAUUCUCUAGGAUCUGAUUGAAACCUAGCACAGAUGCAAACACUCAACAAAAUGUCAGGUCUAGAAGCAGUAAGAUAAAGAAGUGAACCAAUGAUGCUCCUGUACAGCUUUUGAUCAACUUUCUUCCCUUCUUCAUCUUUGUCUAUCUUCAAAGAACUUGACAUCGGUAUGUCGGUCUUUUUGCACUUUUCCAGUCCAAACCUUUUGACAAGAUCAUUAACAUAUUUUUCUUGAUAAAUAAAAGUUCAUUCCUUCAAUUGUUUUACUUGAAGACCAAGAAAGAAUGUUAACUCUCCCAUCAUACUCAUUUCAAACUCAUCCUGCAUAGACUUAGAAAAUUUUUUGCACAGAUUUUCAUUAGAGGAUCCAAAAAUAAUAUCAUCCACAUAUAUUUGAACAAGUAAGAAACUUUUGUUUUCAUUUUUGAUAAAUAAAGUCGUAUCUACUUUACCUUUGACAAAAUCAUUUUGUAUUAAGAACUUACUUAAUCUGUCGUACCAAGCUCGAGGUGCUUGCUUUAAACCAUACAAAGCCUUUUUCAGUCUGAAGACUGAGUCUGGCUUCUUUGGGUCUUCAAACCCUGGUGGUUGUUCCACAUAAACUUCCUCAUGGAUAAAUCCAUUUAGGAAGGCGCUUUUGACGUCCAUUUGGAAUAACCUGAAAUUCUUAUAACAAGCAAACACAAGUAAUAGUCGAAUAGCUUCUAACCUUGCUACUGGUGCGUAAGUCUCAUCAUAGUCUAUUCCUUCUUCUUGCGUAUAUCCCUUGGCCAUGAGUCUUGCUUUGUUUUGUACGACUCUUCCUUUCUCAUUCAUCUUGUCCCUGAACACCCAUUUAGCUCCAAUAACAGUUUUACCUUUUGGUUUGGAUGUCAAUUCCCAGACAUCAUUAAUGUUGAAUUGUCUGAGCUGUUCUUGCAUAGCUUCAAUCCAGCUUUCAUCAGAUAAAGCUUCUUCUAUGCUCUUUGGUUCAAUUUCAGAAACGAGAGCCACAUCACUAGACUCUUCUCGCCUUUUGGAUCUGGUGCGAAUUCCUUCAUUAAUUUCGCCGAUUAUAAGAUCUUUGGGAUGACUUGACUUAUGCUUCCAGUUACUUGUUGAUUUGUCUGGUUGAUGAUCUCUCUCUUUAUUUGGAUCUUCAUGAACAACCAGAUGCUGGUCUUCCAGAGUCUGAGAUGCUUCUUGAGUUGUAAGAUUUGGAGGGUCUGGAGCAGGUUCAGACUCUUCUUGAUGAGUCAGACUUGAUUCAUCUUGCGUUGAGUCUUGAAAUCUGACAUUCAUUGACUCCUCCAUAGACUGGCUCUUCUUGUUAUAGACUCUGUAGGCUUUGCUUGAUGUAGAAUAUCCCAGGAAGAUACCUUCAUUUGAUCUUUCUUCAAACUUACAAACUCGAUCUUUUGCAUUUUUCAAUAUAAAACAUUUGCAACCGAAUACAUGAAAGUAUGAAACAAUAGGCUUCUUAUCUUUGAAUAACUCAUAAGGGGUUUUCUCUAGAAUAGGUCUUAAGAAGACUCUAUUGAUGAUAUAGCAUGCUGUUGAAACAGCUUCAGCCCAAAAUCGUGAAGAAAUCUUACUUUCAAUUAAAAGAGUUCUAGCCAUUUCUUGAAGAGAUCUGUUCUUUCUUUCCACAACUCCAUUUUGCUGAGGAGUAUAUGGAGAGGAGAACACAUGCUUAAAGCCAGAUUCAUCACAAAAUUUUGUAAAAUCUUGAUUUUCAAAUUCACCUCUAUGAUCUGUUCUUAUACUUGAGAUAACACAUCCUUUUUCAUUUUGAACCUUUUUAGCAAAUUUUUCAAAAUACGAGAAGGUUUCGGACUUACUUGCAAGGAAAUAUACCCAAGUAAAACGGGAGUAAUCGUCCACAAUUACUAGGCAAUAUUUUUUACCUCCAAUACUCUGUGUUCUGGUUGGUCCGAAGAGAUCCAUAUGCAGCAACUGCAGUACAUGAUUAGUAGAGACAUGAUUUAUUGGCUUAAAAGAAUUUCUUACCUGCUUUCCCAAAAUACAUGGAGUGCAUGGAUCAGUCUUUUGAUAAGGCAAUUUGGGUAGACCUCGAACAAGCUACUUUGAUGAGAUUUUGGCUAAUUGCUUCAUGUUGACAUGACCAAGCUUUCUGUGCCAUAAGCUUGCUUCGUCUUGAAUUGAGAUAAGACAUUGCGAUUCAUUUGGUUUCACAUCCAGAAGAUAGAUGUUUCAAUGUCUUCGGCCCAUGAAAGACUGAGUAGAGUCUUUACUAAUUCCAGAACAUAUUCCUUCUUGAAAGAAGAUCUUGAAACCAGUAUCACACAAUUGACUAAUGCUGAGAAGAUUGUAAUUGAGUCCUUCCACUAAGGAAACAUUACUUAUUGAGAGAUUUCCAAUUUUCACAGUUCCAAAUCCCACAAUACUUCCUUUGCUGUUUCCUCCAAAUGAAACUUUUCCACCAUUUACUUGAGCAAGCUUUAUAAAACAAUUUGAGUCUCCUGUCAUGUGUCUUGAGCAUCCACUGUCAAGAUACCACUUGACCUUUUUCUUGACAGUGACCUGCAUUUAAAAUAAAGUCUCAAGCUUUCUUUGGUACCCAAACUUUCUUGGGUCCUUUGGUGUUAGUAACAUAAGCAGUAUUAGCCCAUAUUUUCUUAACAGGUUUCCAAACCAUAAGACACUCUUUUUCAAAGUGAUCCGGACUGUUGCACUUUGAACAUCUGAGAGCAUUUCUACCUACAGAUUUUACAAAAACUUUCUUGAAAUGAUUUUUGUAAGCCUCUCUCGAGAGUCUUUUCUUAAUUCUUUCUUUUACUUUAGGAAAAUCAAUCAAUGGAAUUGUUUCUGCUGUCAUACCUAGACCGGACUUAUUGAAGUAAGGUCUUUGAGCUGAAAGAAUUUUUUCAAGUUUUUUAGAUCCUAUUGAAAAUUUAUUUGAAAUAUUUGAUAAGUCAGUUUUUAAAAGAGCAUUUUCUUUUAAAAGAUUAUCUUCAUUUUCUUUAAGAGUGGAAAUAGUCAAGUCUAGACUUUUAACUCUUUCUUCUAAAAUGUUUUCCUUUUGUUUUAGAGAUGAGUUUUCUUUUUUCAGUUCGGAAAUUCUUUUGAGAGAAGUCUUAAGACUAAAACACAGUUCAUCAAUGUAUUUAGAAACUUUGACAGGAAUUUUAAAAUUACUUGCCUCAAAUUCACUGUUUGAGUCUGAUCCAGAGUCUGAGUCUGAUUGUGCCAUCAGACAUAAAUUGGCAUAUUCAUUAUCAUUUUCUUCACACUCUGUAUCACUCCAGGUUUCGGCUUUGAGAGCUUUUCAAAAUUUUUCAGCUUUUCCUCUCUUCUUCUUCAGAAGAGGACAGUUGGGUCUGAUGUGUCCAUUUUUCUUACAUUCAAAGCAGACUACAUCUUUGUUUGGUUCCUCAUCAUCAACAGACUUGGUCUGCUGUCUUUGAAAGCUUUGUUUCUUUGAGUUGAACCUUCUUCAUUUUCUAUUCAGUUUUCUGAAUCUUCUUAUCAUGAGAGCAAGCUCCUCAUCGUCCAUAUCAUCUUCAGAAUCUGUAUCAUCAGAAUCAUCAUUUGAUUUUAAUGCAAUGGAUUUCUUACCUUUUGGAUCUUCAUCUUCAUUGAUCCGUUCCACUUCAUAAGACUGAAGAGUUCCAAUCAGCUCGUCGACAGAUAGUGGCAUAAUUCUUUGCGUCUCUCUUAUAGAAGUCUUUAUGUGAUUCCAAUCCUUGGAGAGUCCACGCAGUAACUUGUUUACCUUCAUGGGAUCAGAAAUUGUUUGUCCUUGAUUGUCAAGACCAUUGACAAUAUCUGUAAAACGGCUAAACAUGUCAGUUAUAGAUUCUCCUGGUUUCAUUUUGAAGGCUUCAUAUUGACCGAGAAGAAUGUUAAUUCUGGUUUCCUUCACUCGAUCUGUUCCUUCAUAGGUGAUAUGCAAUCUGUCCCAAACUUCUUUUGCUGUAACACAAGAUGAUAUUCUAUUAUAUUCAGUUGGUGACAAAGCACAAUAUAAAGAGUAAAUUGCUUUUGCAUCGAGUGCUUGUCUCUUGAUUAUCUCUUCCUGAGUCAUUCCGCUGGUCUCAACAGUUUCUUUCCCUCUUUCAGAGACUGAUGCAGUGAUAGGAGUAAUUCAUUUUUCUACAAUGUCCUAUUCCAGAGGAUCCUUUGAUCGUAGGAAAGCUUUCAUCUUGUUCUUCCAAAUGUUGUAAUCCUUUCCAUCAAAGUAGGGUGGUCUGGUAUUGCUUUGCCCUUCCAUCAGCCCUGGUGCUAGCAUACUAGCCAUGGAUCUUUUACUACGAAGUAAAACACUUCAAAUAAAGUAAGUACACAGGCUCUGAUACCAAUUGAUAUUGCUAGUAUAAGUACCUAGAGGCGGGUGAAUAGGUAUAUAAAAGAUUUUUCUUCGAUAAUUGCACAAUACUAGACAGUUGAUGGAUUUGAGACAAAUGAUAAUCAAAGUAAGACUGAAAGAAGAGAAAAUUGAACACGCGGUUUAUAGUGGUUCAGCUUAUAUCAAGCCUACGUCCACUCUUCUUCACUGACAGCCUAUUGGCUGGAUUCCACUAUGAACAAGAGAGAAGUUACAGCACAGCUUUGCAUUGAUUCCAUAGUGUAGAUGUUCUACCACACCUCCUUAAGAUUUCUCACAAAUAUAAACUCUCUUUUGUAUACAAGUAUUCGCUCAGAGUAAUUGUCUAAACAAAAAGGAGCUUCAGACUUUGGAAUUCUUCCAUCGCGCACACCUUGAACAGCUAAGACCGUCUUCCUUAUAUACUCCUUUAUGCCAUCAUACCCAUUGGCACUUACCAAAGGAAUUCCUCCAAUCUACCCGUUGGACGGAAUCAAUUAGGAAGAUUGUUCGAGCUAUUAAAAGAACGUGUCGAUAGCCCAUCAAUCAUGUUCGUCCAUACAAUCAGGAUCUCGGUUUCCAUAAGUAGAACCUUCCAAUAAUAUUUAGGCAAUCACCGGAUCUUCAAUUAUCGAGUCAAUCUUCGAUCAAUCAAAGGACUCCGUUAUGUCUUUUCCAGCCACGAGAUCUUCUCCAGUUGAUAAGGUUAAAUCCUUAACGAAACAUCCAGUUCUGGAUAACCUUUCUUCAACGGAUUAGAGACUGUCAAUGAGGAUAGACUUUGAGUCUUGAGUCUGGCUGUCCGGAGGUCUUCAGAUUUUAAAUAGCAGAGUCUGCAAGCCUUCAGACUAGACUGAUGGAAACGUUUUGUCAGCUUCAAAACACUUCAAGAAGAUUUCUCCAACAGAAACGAUGCAACAUAUGUCCUUAGAUACUAUUUGUACAUAUAUAACAACUCAGAAUGUGAGUAGAGUAAAUUUGUUUAUCGCCUGAAAUGGAGCAAGUUAAAUUAGACCUGAAGCCAGUCCUCGAGAUGAGUGAAGAGGUACAUCUGCUGCUCCUGCAAGGCGAAUAUGCGCUUGCCCUCUUCGAAGCUGCUCCCGAAAGCCCAUGGAGCUCCUUCAGCACCUCCACCUCGAACUCCUCUCUUCCUCCUCGCAUAUCGCUCCACGUGUCCAGCAUCUUGGCCGCGCUCGCCACGAUCUCCGGGAUCCACCCCUAUUCAAAAUGAGAGCAAACGCAUGCUGCGAAGUCCGUCCAGCGGUGAAGAAAACCGCUCGCAGUGCAAAAGAGCAGUUGAUCUUCGCCAUAUUGCCAAAGACCGUACGGCAAUUUAAAGAACAUAAAACUAGCUUCUGCUUGGUUUACUCAUUGCCAUAUUCAGAUUGCAUUCGCAUCAUUACCUCUUUUGCCACAGAAUGCGCAAUCCCUUGCUCCAAAGCUUCAACUGUCAGAGUUGCAAUGUUAAUUUAAAGCUUUCAUUUUUAAUAUUGAAAACAUGUCCCAAGUCUAAACCUAUAAAGGAAACCCAUUUCAAGGAGUUCUAGUUUCAGUAAAUUUCCUAAUUUGGGUAAGGUUUCUAAAAGGGUUCCUAUUUUGGAUCAAAAUCUUUUCUAUAUAUGCAAAAAAAAAAAAAAAGAUUUUCUUCGUGAAUUGCAUGUAAGAGGAGCUUUCAGUGUUCAAGCUAUUAAAUCUCUUGGUAAAGCGAGGAAUUAUGAGGGUUAAACAUUGUUUGAGUUACUAGGUGUAAUUGGGGGCUAAAAAACAUUAUGAGUGUUUGAGCAAAUCGAGUACUUUUAGUAAUUUUUAUUAUAUCACUUGAUUUAUAAUGGAAUCACGUGCCAUUCUCCUACAGAGUGGGUCCCACUAACUGAAACAUCCCAUAGUGGAAUCAUCUUUGUAGAUGUGUGUCCAAUCUCCUGACUAAAACGAAUGCAACAUGAGCUUUGCUCUAGUUGUGGUACAUGGGGUUGUGUUUGCAAAUCCUUAUGGAGCGUGUAGAUAUAAUUAGUGUCCUAAUAAGGUCUAGGGAGUUGGCUUGGAAGAUUUUUAUGGUGGUCUUGCCCAUAAAGGGUUGUGGGAAGAGUAACGGCAAAGUCCAAAUUCUAACGAAGAGAUUGUCGAGCCAACGUGUAGAUUGUUGAAAAUCUAUUUUAAAUUUAAACCCUUAAAGGAAAUCCAAUUCACGUGGGACUCCAAAUUUGAGUAGAUUUCUUAGUUGAAUGUUUUUUUUUUUAAAUUUUAGUGGUUUUCUAAUAAUAGUGGAUUUCCUAAAAAGAACUUCCUUUAUUGGAUCCCAAAUUUUUCUAUAUAAGUAGUCACUCUAUUGUGUCACUCGAUAUAUUGUGGAAUGUGGUGCUCUCCUCAUAGACUAGGUCCCACUAAUUGAAUGAUGUAAAUCUAAAAUCCAAUUUAUUUACUUGUUUUGUUUCUUUUAUUGAUUGAUUGUUUGUUUUUUCGCAACAUUUCAUAUUACUCUGCGGUGUGUGGGGGCUGUGCAGGACUAAGAUGUUGUGUUCAUAAAUCACGUCAAACAAUGACAUGGUAUGUAUGCGAUGGUAAAUUGAUAAUAUAUACUGCCUCCAACGCUCACCUUAACUCUCUCCAUAGUAAAGGCCUGGUUAGCGAUCCGCCGGUGAAUGGCCCACUUCUCGCCCACCAGCCCAACAAGGCCUUGCCUGAACAGCUCCCGAGCGUGCGAGUUUAACUUGACCCGGUCGUACGACCUGCCUGUAUUCGUCAGGACCUUCUUGAUCAUGACCGGGUCCGAGAUGCCCAGCCUACGCCUCGACCCGAACCAAUAUACAAGAGUCCUCCCAUACUUGAAGGACCAAUGGUGUUAGAAAGGAGCCACUCUGUGGAGGAUCCUGUGGUCGAACGGCAUGGGCUUCGACUGAGCCUCCACGAGUAGGCGGUUGAUCUCCGCCGUGUUGCCAAGGAUCGGACGGUUGCUGGGCCCCGGACGCCUUGCUUCGUGAAGUGGCACCGUAGCUUUAGCGGGGUAAAGAGAUUGGAGUAUGUGAAUUUCGAGAGGAGGAUGAGGAUAACCAAGAGGACUGAAACCACAAGCCAUGGCGUAGUUGGAGCGGGAGGAGGGGUUGGAGAAUGAGAGGUUCACAAGGAGUUGUAAAAACAUGGAGUAAGAUGGGCCUUAAAUAGAGGUUAGGUCAAACUGUUAUGCUUUUUCCAAAUAAUUUCGUGGUUUUGCAAUGAAAAAAUGUAUAAUAUAUUGCGGUCUCAUUGACGAGUGCUUUCAGAGCACUUUUUAGUCAUAUCUAUUAAAGAAUUAUUUGCAUUUACAAUUUAUUGAUCGUACAUAAUAAGAGAAAGAUGGCCCUUCGUCAAUGACAAAGGUUCUGUAAUGGGGCACCUGUUAAACACCCUUGUAACAAAAGCUUGUGAUUUUUAAUACACUCUUGUGUUACGUGUGAUCAAUUGGAAAUAGAGAUGUAAUCAAGUCAAGUUACUUGCAAAUAGCUCAGACUCGACUCAAUGAUUAAUCAAGAUCAACUCGCCUAACUUUGAGUCGAGCUUGAGCUCACUAAUACAAAGUUCGACGGCCUUCCAAACUAAUUAAUCCUGAUCAAGUUUCUAUAUUAACUUACGAACAAAUACUUUAUAAUUACAAAAAAAAAUAAUAAUAAUAAGACCGGAAAGUCCUUAAAAUUACAUAGUACCCAUAUAUAUAUUUAGUGAGGGAAAAAGUACUAAAAAAAUCAUAAAUCUAUUACACUUAUGCUAAUUCAAUCAUAAACCUAACAAUUAUACUAAUUGAGUCCUAAACAUUUUGACACAAUAGAAAUGUUUAAUACUAAAUUGAUACAAAUGCAAUAAAUUUAGAACAUUUUUGAUAUUUUACUAUUUAAGGAAGUUAAGGCUACGCAUGACAAAAUUUCUGAAACAGAAAUUGAUUUCUAGUCAGAAAUCAAUUUCUCAAUUUCUAUUUCCGGACAAGUUUUUGAGCAAAAAAACCCGUUUGAUAACGACUCAAAAUUUCUAUUUUUGAAACAAAAAUCCGUUUAAUAAUAGAAUAAAAUUUCUAUUUCUAGGAAUAGAAAUUAAUUAGAUAACAACAUAGGAAAUCCUUAAAUACAAAACAAUAGUCGAAAUAAUACUAAAACAACAUAGGAAAUCCUCAAAUACAAAAUAAUAGUCGAAAUAAUACUAAUAAAUUGCAAAAUUUGAAAAUACAAUUUCAUGUUGGGUUAGCCAUACACAUCACAUGUUUCUAGCGAUUCACAUGGUAUCAUUAAAUGAUACAUGUCUUGGAUAAGAAUCUUCCGACAUAUUAUUAUCCAUUGUCAUUUUAUUGGCAAUGGUUUUCCUAAGCGUAUUUAUUUGGUUUUCCUCUUCGGUCAAUGUAUCGUUUGCAAACUCAUCUUGCAUAGGUUCAAACAAGUAUUGUGGAAGCAUGAAUAUGGGUGCCAUCAAUGGCGCCUAUAUAGCCUUGCCAUUUUAUCAAAGACUAGUAUUAUACAAGAUUAUUAACAAAAUAAAAUUGAUGGUGCAAAUAAAUAUAUGAGAAUUCUACCUUGAAGUAACGUUUAUGAUUAGGAACCAAUCGGGAGAAGAUCGGUUUAUUUUGAUUCUCGAAUUGAAUCAAUUCAGUUGCUCAUCCUAAUUUCUUUAUUAUUGCUCAAUGAACCUUUAAUGGCCCUUGCAUAGCAAAGAGAGAGAUUCUCUUGAAUCUUUUUCCUUCGAAUUAAAAUUCAAGAUUGUGUAACAAUCUAACUAUUUUGAUUUUGCAAGAAUUUUGAAUUCGUAAAGAAACAAUGUUAAAUUUCUAGGCAUGUUUUUUAUUCAUCUAUUACGUAAGAACUUUUUCUUCAACUGGCCAUGCGUGUGCUUUUUCUAGGAGGAAAAAUCUCCAUUGUUUUUAAGUAAGCAUUUAAGAACUUUGGUCGUUUUUGAAAAUUUGGGACCCAUUCGAUUGCCUUUCAUCCUAAAGAGGAAGUUAUAAAAAAAAAUGAAAAAAAAAACACGAGCAAAAUAAGAAAAAGAAAAUUAGCAAUAAUUUGUGAAGUUGUGGUUAUGAGUGAAUUAAGUUAGCAAGAAAGCACAAUGUUCUUUUAUAUGGUUUGAUUUCAGCUUCUGAUUUCUAUUUCAGAAACUGAGAAGUUAAAAAUUUCAGUUUCUGAUUUCUUCAAUUUCUCUAUUUCUGGAAUAGAAAUCUGUUUCAGAAAUAGAGAAAUCAAAUUGCGUUACCAAACGGAUUUCUGUUCCAAACCUGUUUCGGGGAACAGGGAAAUAGAGAAAUCGAGAAAUAGAAAUUUUGUCAUGCGCGCCCUAAAUAACUGAGCUUGAUAAGCUCGAGCUUGAGCUCAAGUUCGUCUAUCACUCUAUUAUAAUUGAGUAGAAUUCAAAUAUUUUGAAUUUUUAUUUGACCCAAGUUUGAGCUGAGGUUAUAAUGCCCAAUCAAGCUCGAGUGGAGGUUCGAGCACCAAAUAUUGAAUUGAGUUGAGCUCAAACUUUGGCACUACUAUAUCGACUUGAUUCAAGUCGAUGACACCCUUAGUUGGAAUCUAUGUUAUUUUAGGAUGAGUUAGAGUGAUAACAAAAGAGGAAGUGAGAGAAAAAUUGAAAUGAUUUCGGAGAACUCUUUAUUUUUCGAAAUUACAGUUUCGAAUCUCGUCUAGCCCAUGAAAGAGGAUUGAGUGCAUGUCAGGCUGAUACUAAGUGUUACUCAUGUGUGAUAAUUGCACUGGGGCAGAGUGAUAGAAUAUAUAAUUUAUAUAUAUAAUCUAGGACGAGUGAGUGUGAUGACGAAUGAGACAGUAAUAUAAAAAUCGGAAUGGCUUUUAAGAUCUCAAAUCUUUCGGAUUUGAAAUCUUGAGCCCAAGAAAGAGGAUAGAGUGCAUUCUCGGCUGAUAGUGAAUGUCCACCUACUAAUGUGCCGACAUUAAAAAAGAUGAAUUUUUAAAAGAGAGAGUUUCUUGGGAGUUUGCGAUUAAAACGAAAAUGAGAGGGUGACGGUGCCCUUACUCUUUGGAGACCCCGCCAUAAAUUUUUCCCAAAGAAUCCGAACAAAUUCCUAAGAAAUUUGUGGAUCCACAUACCAAGUGGAUUAUUUUAGAUUAAAAAUAAAAAAAUUAAGAAAUAGAAAAGAUAUAUAUUAGAAACAUCAUCAAUAUAAAAUAUCCUUAAAAGAAAAUUGUUUAAACAUCUUUAUUGCAACUUCUAUAUCUGUUUGCAACCUUAAUAAGUUUUAGCUUUUAUUCAUUUUUUUGCCAGUCGGGUUGCGAUUACAGGCUAGUCUACCUUAAACCUUUUCAAUCCUAGUGGAUUAAAAUUUACGACUUAAAUCGAUCGAUGCAGGAGACUUAUGGUAGUCACAACAUGAAGUAUUUGCGCUAGUCCCCAUUUUCAUUAUUUUAGCCAUAAAAAUAUAUCUUUUCAUGGGAAACGUGUUUAAUACAGUAAGGAUAUCUUGUUAGUUUCAAAUUAACUUAAAAUUUGGGUCAAUUAUGUACGGGCUAAACGAAAGAAAAAGGAAAAAAAAUGGGAAAUCAAAUGUGGGCUUGUAAAUUUGUUACAAUACAUAAAUAUUGAUACGGACAUCGAGAUAUAACUUUUUAGUAAUCUCUUAAAAAGUUAAAUAAUGUUUUAGAUUUAAUGAGAAAGUGAAAAACUUAAUUUUGAUCUUUGAUGAAUUUGGAUGAACAACAGUAACAAAAAUUAACAUAUAAGUCAACUCACGUAGCUUAAAUUGAUAUAAAUUGGAAUAAGUACACCAAAAGUGCCAAAAGUUGUAUACAAUACUCAUUUUGGUGUCAAAAGUUUAUUUUGGAUCACUUAAGUGCCAAAAAUUUUGAAAAACGAUCGUUUUAGUGUCAACGCCGAUCUGAUUGGCCGAAUAUCCGACAUGGCCUUUUUUUAAUAAUUUAUUAAGUUGAUGUGGCUCGCUAGAGAGUCCAAUCAACAUCUAAAGCAAGAAACGACGUCGUCUAGUUGCAUUUCCCUCCAAAUAAGAAUCCCAAUUUGCCAAAUUGAAAGAAAUUCCCAAUUUCAAACCCUAAGUGGCCAUUGAAUGAAUCCUCCCAACUCGAUCCACCAUGCUCCGGCAACUUGCCAGCGGCAAGCCACGAAGAAACUACUCCACCUAGUCAUCCCGACCACUGCUAUCAUGAGUGCUUGCCUUCUGGAGAACAAAGAAGAUCAAAUCUCAGCUUCAACUUUGGUCUUAACAGAACAAAAUUGCGAGUCAAACACUGCCUGGUCUAUGGACGAUGAUGGAGUUGCAAUCUAUGACUAGAUCAAGGACAGAAAGUUCAAUUAUCACUACCAAUGGGGAUGAAAGCGAACAAAUAGAUUUCGGGGGCAAUUUCAUCACUUCAUAUCUUUUGGUUGUGAAGUAGAGUAAAACAGAGUGCGCCUCGCACUCUUCCGGAAUCAAUUAUAGGUGGCGGUGAAUGAAAGUUAGAUUGACGUGGAAGAUUCUCGGUGAUGAAGAAGCCAAGAAUCAAAGCAAGCGAUGGUAUGUCAAGCAGGGUCUCAGUUCUUUAAGUACUUGGAUCGCAGAGCAAAGAAUAGAGCAGUAAAGUUCAUGGCACAUCGAUAAUAUUCCAAUGAGCUCUUAAAAUGCAAAAUUUGAAGACAUGAAAACAUGGCCUCUCAACCAAGCUCACUGGAGACAAUACGGGUGCCUUGCGAGUGACAUCAACACUCGUCCAUGGACGAGUGGUUUGCAAGCGCCAGUAUUGCUCGACCAGAUCUGGUGGCAACAACUGGUGGCAACGAUGAAGGAGGGGCAGAGGUUGAAUUUGGAGAGAGGGAAUGACCGGAUGGGUUUUUCAAGCAAGAGGGAUCGGAGGCAUUCAGGUGAGGGAGAGGGCGGACACAUUGUUGUAGAGAGCGAGCUUAUAGAUGGUAACAAAGGAGAGAUGAGAAUAAAAAUGCCAAUAUUUUCUUUCUUCUUCAUUGGACAACAGCCAAGAAAGUCCACAUCUACUGAUUUUUAGAAAAAAAAAAUUGCCCAGUAAUAUUAAUUUUUUAAUUAUAAAAGCCACGUCAUUUUUUGGCCAAAAUUUUUUGUCUAAGGCAUUUAAGUGAUUGUUUUUCUUUGGUUUGGCACUUAAGUAAGCUAGCGAAAACUUUUGACACUAAAAUAAGCGCCAUACGAAACUUUUGACUCGGAAAAGAUUUCAUCGAGAUGGACAUUAUCAACUCGAGAAACGUUCGGGUGCAAUUGAGCUUUCCUUUACACAUGGUCAUUAUAUGGCUGUUAUUAAUUAUCGUAUGGAACUUUAGCUUGCAAAACAGACAUUAUGGAAGAAUCCUACUUCUGCUUGACCUCCCUCCCUCCUAUUUAACUCUCCUCACUGCCCCCGCCGCUCGACCACCUUACCACCACACUGAUCAUCGCUUUAGAUGUCGACAUUGCAUUCACUAUACUAGCGUAUGACCACCAUCGCAGAAUCCCCAGCUGAAACCUUAGAUCAGUGGGGAGAAGAAUGAAGGAGCCAUGAUCAUGGUCCAUAUGACUGUCGCGACCUCUCUUUUUUUCGGCACCCGCAAUCGGGUACGAGCGCCUAAGGAAGCUAAUGGCUCGGCUGAAAUUGAUUAAGCCCGGACUCUCCCAAGUCCACCAAUUCACGACUUAAUAGUCUAAGUUUUUAACCUGCAAGUUGAUUUUUAAAAUGGAGUCGCCACUAAUCAAUUUUGGGUGGGUUGAUUAGAAACCCAAGCGAAGUAUCGGGAGAAAUACUCACUCCUGCGCAACCAGAGAAAUUAGGAUCGGGGACUUGAUUACACUAGUUAAUCACUAAUGCCCUUUCGGUACCUAAUCGUGUUUAAACCUUGAGGGUUUUUGGAUGUUUGAGGGAUUUUCCAUGCAUUUUGGGAAGGAAAAACAUUUUUUGAGUCUUUUUAUCAUUUUUUGGACAUAAAAGGGAAUUUUUUUUUUUUGGUAUUUUUUGGAAAAAUACAAGUCUUUUUGGCUUUUUCAUGAAGUUUUGGCUUUUUUUGGAUUUUUGGCAUUUUUUGGAAAAUAUGGAAUAUUUUUUAUUUUUUUUGGUUUUUCGGAAAAUAAAAUAUUUUUUAAUAUUUUUCAAAAUAUUUUUGGAAAAUAAAUUAUUUUUUAUUUUUCUCGAUUUUUUAGAAAAUAAAACAUUUUUCAACAUUUUUUAAAUAUUAUUCGAUUUUCUGGAAAUUAAAACAUUUUUUUAUAUUUUUUCGAAAAUAAAUUAUUUUUGAUUUUUUUUAAAUAAUAUUUAUUAUUUAUUAUUAAAAAUAUUAUAAAAACUGACCCGGGUCGGAUCCGCGGGUUGGGUCCAACCCGGGCCGGCGACCCGCACGCGGACGGGCCCGCGUUGCGGGCUCGACUCAGAUUUUUUCCUUUUUUAAAAACGGCGUCGUGGCCGGUGUUUAGGGACACCCGGCCCGGCCCGACAACCCGGUCCAACAGCCCAUCGCUUCUAAACGACCCGGCCCGACCCGAUGACCCGAUCCUGGCGAAACCCUACCCGAUCCGACGACCCGGCUUUCAUCCGCCUCUCAAUUUGCGAAACCCUACCCGAACAGUGGCCCGGAUCCGACCCAGGCUGGGUCCGACGCAAUGCUUCUUCCCUCCUCGUCUAUCCGCGGCGCCGAUGGAGGGGCUAGGAGGUCGAACGGCGGCGGUCCGGCGUUCGGCGGUGACGGAGGCUAGGGUCUUGACAAAAAAGGGGGCAAGCCUCCGAACGGCGGCGACGGAGGCGACCGCACGGGUUGAGAUGCAAGGCGAAACAACGAUUAGGGUUUCGAGAGGGGGGCAAAGCCUCCGAGCGGCGGCGACGGGGGCGGUGAUGGCGUACGGCGGCAGAUGGCGACUGAGCUCAUACCUAUUUCGGUCGAUUUCGCGAUGUAGGGCUUUGAUUCGGCCGAGUCUUCGAACAGCUGCAGGUCUACGUCGGGGAAGCAGUGGCCGGUGUCAGGAGAAAUAGCAGUGGCGAAACGCGAGGGUGGCAGCACGGUUCGACGGCGUUGGGGCUGGUGCUUGAUCACAGCGACGGCGGCGGCCUGGCUCGGGGCGACUCGACACGACGGCAAGGGUUCGGUCCGCUCCCAGUCAGCCCCCUCUCCUCCAGAUCUGACCUUUCUCAAGUCUUCUUCUUCGCGGAUCUGGGACUCCCUCGGAACCAGACCCUCCGAUUCGACCAGAUCUCUCCCUCUUCGGCCAGAUCUGAGAUCUCCGAUGGCUUGCCUUCAAACCUUCCCCGAAGUCUCUCGGGAAAGGUCUUCGAAGCUUGCUACCAGAGGUCCCUCACUUCGCCGUGCUCUCCUUCUCGCGGAUCUGGGUUCGCUUGCCGCCGGCCUCCCCCGAUGUCUCUCGGUGGGAGAUCGUUUAGCUCGCGACCCGAUCCUUCGCUCGCUCUUUGAUUUCCCCCUUGAAGUCUCUCAAGGGGAAGAUCUUGGAGUUCGCUCUGUGUCCUUCAACGAUGGAGGUGCUCCGCUAUUUAUAGGCGAGGAGGAGGCCGGUCGAUAGAGGGUCGGCCGUCGGCCCUCGCACACCGACCGGACCCCCGUGGCUGAACCGGCGUCCCAUCCGAGCUCCUCCAACAACGCAUGCUUGGCAUUGAAGGAAGCCAAUGAUGGCGCUUGAGAUUUGUCUCUUCCGGCCGACGUCGGCCUACACUCCUUGGCCGUAGGCUCGUUCGUGCGCGUGAGUUGCAGAGGUGGAAGGGAAGAAGAGGGAAGAAGGAAGAAGAAGAAGAGAGAGAGGGCCGGGCUGGAGGAGAAGGAGGUUGGGCCAUAAGGGCCCAUGCGGGGGGGAGAGAAAAAGGAGGGGGGCUGGGCGCGAAGGCCCAGCCCUGAUGGGCUGCCAAUUUUUGUUUUUCUUGUUUUUAUUUAUUUAUUUAUUUAUUUUGUUGUUUUUGUUAUUUAUUUUUUAUUAUCUAAAAAAAGGAAAAUAAAAGAAAAUAAGACCUAAUUAAUAACCUAAUCACAAUUUAGGUGUCAACAAUGACAAAAGAGAGAGAUUAAGUGUCGUCCCUAUUCAUGUUGGUUAAAUAUUUUGAUAAUGUGUUUAAGUCAUUUUAUGUCUGAAGCUAACCCUUCAAAUAGGAGGACAAUCGUGUCAUUUCCCUUAUUCUUGUAGGACUUGGGGUGCGACAUUAGAAUAAAAUUAGAGAUGAUAUAAUUUUUGUUGGGAGCGUUGAACCCACCUUCACUUAAAAGCAAGAUUAAGCCAAUUAGUCUCCCUCAUGUGUACCCUAAAACCACAUUGGUAACGAGAUUACCAUUUGUUACUUUGAUAUUAUUUGUUGGGAGCUGUGACACCCCAAAUUUUCUUUUGUUCAUCAAUUAAGUUAAGUAUAUUAUAGAUUAAGGUUACUGAUUUGAUUAAAACACCAAGUGUUCUUUUAGUUCGACCAUGACCCACUCUUCCGUGCAUGGGAGGAUUUUCUUUCAAGAGGAAUUUUAUUCCCCUCGUAGCAGCCAGGUGGAGCUAAAGAGGAAGAGGGGGAGGCCACACGUGUACUUCUACUCUUUUCUUCUUUCCUAAACGGUUCAGUUGCAGCAACUGAUUUCUUCAACUGGGUUCUUUUCUUUCUUCCCUCAACCGAGACACCCAACUCUUCUCACUCUUAUUUUCGCUUCGUUCCACCAAAGAUCUGACCCGAGCUCAGCCCUUCUUAGCCCCGUGCCUUCUUCGAGCAGCGAGACCAUCGUUGCCUUGCCCUGUUCAGAGCUCCCGCCGUCGACCGUGAAGCCCCAGCUCGCCCGACGCCUCCUCCCUCUUCUGCCGGUGAAAGAUCCAAGCAAGUGAAGCUGUCUUCGUGGUCUCGAGUUCAUGGGUUUGCCCCGCCUUGUGUUGUAUGUUGAUUUAGGGUUAGGUGGCUGCAUUGGGAGUGCAGGGGACGGCUGAAACGUUGGGUUUUGGGGUAGGAUAGGUUCUGAUUUUGAAUUGCCGUGGCUGGUAGGUGGUGGAUAUCGCGUUCCACCCGGUCGACAACCCACCAACCCAUAGUUUCCUUCCCUCUCUCUUCCAUUUCUCUCUUUUCUCCCUCGACUUGAACAGAACGGAGCCUUGAUGUCCCUGUUUUGGUAUAUAUGGGUUAGCUGAGAGUCCAAAUAAGAGCUGUGAGUGAGAGAGGGAGCGUGCGAGAGAGAGAGAGAGAGAGAGAGAGAGAGAGAGAGAGAGAGAGACUGUGAGAGAGGUGCGGAUUGAGCGAAUUGAGAACGAUUCUUGAUUUGAUGAUUCUAUUUUGAGCUCAUUCGGGCUGGUCGCAGGGUUGGAUGGGUGGUCAGUGACUUAAGUGCGAGGCUUGUGGAUGGUAUGGUGUAAGUCGGGGCGAGAGGGAGGCUGUGGUCCAUCGUUGUUGGGUAGGAAAGGCUGGUGAGCUACGAAAUGGGCUUACAUGUUGACUUAGGAAGGUCGAGACUUCAAUUGUGGCUUUGGAUGGAUUUCUCGAAUUGUUUGUGAUGAAUCACUAGUGGUUAACGCUCGUUUAGGUGCUAUACAUGUGUGGUCGAGGCUCAAAUGGGGGUUCGUGAGGUGACUAAUUAGCUAGGAGUAGCUGAGUGCAGAUGCUAGAGUUCAUGGUUGGUCUGUCCGAGAAGAAAAGUUCACUGAGGUUGCUGGUUUGUCGAUUUUCGGUCAUCAAAUGUAUUAAGAGUUGGAUGAACUUAUUUUCUGGAAAGUUGUGCAAUAAAUUCUGAUCUAUGACAUAUAUUUAAUUGAUAUUUUUAUGAGUUAAACUAAUCCACAUGAAGAUUUGAUUUUAUACUGUUAGUGAGCUGUUCGGUACCGUGAAAUCACGACCUCAGUGUGCUUUUGAAUUUCUAUAAAAUUAUUGAGUUAGAAUAUGGAUUUACUUCCUCCAUGAAAGUAGUAGGAGACAUGUAGGUGCAGAACAUAUCAAAAUUUCAAAGCAUUUUACUGAGUAUUGAACUUCGAAAUGGGCUAAACCUCCCGGUUGUUAGUUCUGUUCGGCGGAAGGAAUUUUGAGCUGCAUGGACCACAUUGCUGCUCUCUUUACAGAAGGAACCAAACUUGGUUUCCUUCUUGAAAAGUUUUCAUUUAGGGCCUUACUAUCACAUAUUAAAACUUGAGAGUUUUCUAUGAUGGUUUACUAUGGUUUUGGCUCUAAACACUGAGACUAGUCGCUUUCGCCUAGUUCUAUCUAUGUUAGUAGAUUCUGAGUUUUCUGCAAGAAAAUGUUGGACUCUUACUUUGUUGCUUCUAAUGAGGGUUCUUAUAUAUCUUGUCGUAUUUAAAAAUGCAUGUUUAGACCUUGGUGUGAUUGUUAGCAUACUGGAGUUGUUGGUGCUGCAACAAGGCAGAAUUAUGAAUGUGUGUAAUUGGCUAAGGAGCCAAUGAGAGACCCCGGGUGUCGGGAUGCCUGGAGAGGGGUGACUAGGAGUAAUAGUAUUCUCUCCAGGGGACUGAGAAGGGUUGAAUAACUUUUCAGGGGACCUUGUGAUGCCAGGUUGGGUGCGAGGGGUACAGGAUGGAGUGUCGUCUUCCCCUGGGUGAUUGUGAACCUCGUGACGCCAAGUUGGGUGCGAGGGGUACAGGGUGGAGUGACGUCUUCCUCUGGGUGAUUGUUGCAACUAGACUUCUAUAGAUUCUGCAAAUUAAUAGUUUCUUUACCUAUUUGUCUUGCUAUUGGCCAACUUUAAGUUAAGACUAACCGCCCACUUGCUGAGUUUUUAUUUUGAAAACUCACACUUAUUUAUUGUGUCUUUUUUUUUCAGAUUAGAAGGUGACCAAGGAGCACUCGACGUGUGGGAGAGUUUUGUUUUGUUUUUUUUUUUUUUUGUAGUAUGUACAUACUCGACGGGAGGCGGGAUAUUAAGUGUUUGUGGCUCCUAGUGUUUUUUUUUUUUGUGUGUGUAGAAAUCCCCCUCCUUAGCCUCAUCUCCCGAUGUGUACGGAAACAAAGUUUUUAGUAAAUAUAGUCGAGUGCAGUUCAAUUUCUUAUGACUCAACUUAGAAUGAAAUUUAUUUUAUGAUCCGAAAUUAAUAUCUCCCCUAAUUUAUAAAGCAAGGCAUGUGACUUGACUUGAGAUCCUGGGUGCCACAGGAGCGCCUAGCGGAUUACUCAGUAAAAAUGCAAUACCUUCACCUCAAGAGAUAUAUUUAGUUGAACUCACAUUCAAUUAAAAGUUUAAACUAAUGAGUUAUGAGUCAACUAAGAUUGUUAACCAAUCCACACCACAUCAAUUAUUCAAUAUAGGGAAACCUAACACAACUCAACAAUCUCUUCAUCACAUUUAAACUUAAUGUUAUGGGUGCUCCCCUCCAUUCGAGUAUCGGAUCGCAUUAGCAUGUCUCAACUUCAGUUUUUUUGGGAAAAGUGAUAAAAAAAAAAGUCAUAAACAUAUUGUAUUAAUGAUUACUUAGCCCUAAAUUUUUUAUUGGUGCCAAUUUAUUCCGAAACAUUUUGACAUAAUGUCAAUUCAAUCAUUCCAGCUAAUUUUAGUUAGAUUUUGCUAAUGUCGAUGCUGGUCGAUUUACGUGGUACAGUCAACGAUGACGUUGUUAACUUUUAAUUAGGGAUGAGCACGGUUCCCGGGUAGAACCGGGUUCGAUUCUGUUCCCGGUUCUAAAGAGACCGGUUGCGGGUGGGCUGGUUCCCUUUUUCUGGGAACCGGUCAGAAUUUUAAAAAAAAAACCCUAGCCCCUCGCUUCCCCCAACGUGAUUUCCCCCCUUCCCUUUUCUUUUUCUCUCUCUCUCUCUUUCUUUCCUCCCCUUUUUCCUCCUCACAUCACUUCCUGCCCCCCAACUUGUUUUCUUUUCUUCUCUCUCUCUCUCUUCUCUUUCCCCCUCUCUCGGCCGAACCCCCCCCCCUUCUUCUCCUCCUCUUCUUCUUCUUCUUCUUCUUCUUCUUCUUCUUUUUCUUCUUCUUCCUUCCUCUUGUUGGCUGCUGCUUCACCCACCACCACACUGCCGCCCCACGCCCUACUCACCACCACCUCUUGGCCACCGAACCAUCACCACCCGCCGCUUGUCUGACGAGCUGUCUCGCCAUUGAGCCCGACAAGCUAUCGCGCCGUCCGCGCCGCCCCUCGAUGCCUCUCGGCCCCUCGACGCUGCUCGACCCCCUCGACGCCCGCUUGGCCCGCUUGACACCCUUGAUGCUCCCUCGACGCCGCACGGCCCCCUCGACGCCCACUCGACCCCCUCGACGCCGCCUGAUGUCCCUUGAUACCGCUCGCCACCCUCGACACCUAAGAAACUCGCCUCCUCCAGCUUCAAUCACAGGUCUAAUCUCUUGUUGUUUCUGCUCUUAACUGUUAGAUCUAAUAUAACAUUUUAGCUGCUUUAUUUGGUCGAUUUCUGAGAUGUGAGUGUCAUGCUUGUGUGCCCUAAUCCAAGUACAUACAUAGUGAGGGAAGGGAAUUUGUGGGGUUGUGUCACGUAGGUUCUUCCGUAUCCCAAAAUAAGACCAAGAUGGCUAUUCUGGGAUCUUCAUCUUACUAUUCAGUGGCUAUUGUUGGGGUUGUUCUUGUUCUGGUUUUGAAUGGGGCUGAUUUGUGCAAUGGAGGGAAGACCAGCACUUUUUUCCAUAAAGUAGAGAAAACUGUGGACAUGCCUCUAAAUAGCGAUGUUUUCCGAGUGCCUCCUGGCCAUAAUACCCCUCGACAUGUCUCAACUGAGUUUGUCUUCUUGCUUUCUUUCAGUAUAGCACAAGCUACAAGCUUUUCCUUCUGUUCAUUCGUGACUUAUGAAAUGGUUGACAUCUAUGUGUAUACACACUAGGAUGAGCUAGAGUCGCAUUAAUUUGGUUUCGGAUUCGAUGUGAAUUAAUGUUAGAGGUCACUGUUGUUAAUUUUGUUCUAUUCGUUGUGGUUUUUUAUUUGGUUUUGAUUUUGGUGCGAGUCUUUAAGUACAUAUUACCCAAUGAGAUCAUGUGGGAAAAGGAGUGAUUAUGUCAUGGGUGACUCCGGAUGAACCUGGGUCCAAUGUAGUGCCAAUGCAGUGCGUUACUGGAGUGAAAAUAGCGAGCACAAGAAAAAGGCAAAGGGCAAAGUUAAUCAUUAUAAGUUCUACAAUUAUACUUCUGGCUACAUCCACCAUUGCACCCUCAAAAACUUGAUGGUAAAUUUCUGAAUUCCUCCAGAAAUAUUAAUUUUUUUUUGCCUGGUCUACAAAAUUUGGUAAAUGUAGCUGAUGUUUAUUCCAUUUACUUGCAGGACAACACUAAAUACUAUUAUGAGGUUGGAAUUGGACACACGGUCCGACAAUUCUGGUUCAUUACUCCUCCAAAGGUUGGCCCUGAUGUUCCAUAUACUUUCGGUCUCAUAAGUAAAGUAAAUCAUAUUGUCAUGCAUAGAUAGUCAAUGACUCAAAGUAGCUUCAAAAGCUCAUUCCUGUGUAUGUACUAUGAGUCUUUGCAAAAUCAUUUAGCUUUGAUAAUCAUUUUCAUCAGUAAGUCGCAGCAAAUUUAGUUUUGCCGGUAAUUUACAUGCAUCCACGGUUCUACUUCUUUCUGUGCUCAGCAUGCCAAUGACCAUUGCAGGGGAUCUUGGUCAGACUUUUGAUUCAAACCGAACACUCGCCCAUUAUGAGCAUAAUACGCAGAAAGGACAGACUCUAUUGUAUGUUGGAGACUUGUCAUACGUGGAUGAUUAUCCCGACCACGACAAUGUGAGGUGGGAUACAUGGGGAAGGUUUGUCGAAAGAAGUGUAUGUUGUCUCCUAUUCGCUGCAUUGUUGACAAUUACCUUCUGAUAAUGAUUUGCAGAAGGUGGGAGACAACCAUUGGACUGGGCAUCGCGGGUGAAGAUUUCUCUAGGAGUGGCUAAAGGCAUUGCUCACAUCCAUUCGGCCAGAGGUGGGAGGUUUAUCCAUGGCAACAUACCUUGAAGGUUGCAUCUCAUAUUUGGCCUGACUCCUCUGAUCUGCACUCCUACAGUGCCUCCUAGAACUAGAAGUGUAGGUUAUCGGGCUCCCGAAGUCAUGAAAACUCGGAAACCCAGACAUUUACAGUUUUGGAGUACUGCUCCUUGAAGGAUUGUCAAGGUGUCGGACCCAUUAUGGUGAGUUCAAGCUAUUUUUCUGUGUUAAUCAUGAUUUGAAGGAUAAGCUCAAAAAAAGAGUGAGGAUUAAGAGGUAUAAUAUUGUUUAUUAUUGCUGCGUUCAUUUUCAUUUUUUUAAACUAAAAAUGAAAAAAAAAAAAAAAACCUGUUGGAACCUGGAACCGACCCUGGAACCUAUGACAGGGUAGGUUCCAAGUUCUUGGUUCUGACGGAUAGGUUCCAGGUUUCAAAAAACGAAGAACCUGUACCCGAAGGUAGGUUCCAGGUUUCAGCCGGAACCGAACCGCAACCGGGAACCGCUCACCCCUACUUUUAAUGAUAUUUUAAUAUCUUUUGAAUUUUUAUUUAUUUUAUGAAGGAAGAAGGAAGGAAAGAAAAUCAGAGAGAGAGAGAGAGAGAGAUGAGGGGUGGCGAGGGCGUGGUGGUGCGGCGUGAUUUUGCAAUUAUCACCAAUUCCACACAUGCCAUUGCUCCGAAACCGUAACUGGCAAUGUAAACAUACCCUCAUUGACACCCCCACCAUCACGGGCAAUUGCACAACGAAGAAUCGAUAGGGGAGCACCUGAAGCCUAGACUUGGCCGUAUUCGAAGUCACCAACAUGCUCUCUCAAUUGAGCUUAGGCCGAGACGGAGCUGAGGCAAUCAAGAGCUCUGAGAUGAGCUCGCUUCAGUUAUGAGCUUGCCAUCCAUUUCACGGCGACUUCUACUCAAAGUGAGAAACAGAGUUAUCAGUAAUUAGCAAGUAUAGUGAACAGUAAUCAAAAUUAUCAUCUUGCUGGUCAUGACAUGUAAGAUGAUUAGCAAUGAUUAGACCACCAUGAUAGAAGGGGUUAUUUGGUCAGAAAUAUUUUAUUGUAAUACGAUGAUCCCAAGAUAUCAGUUGUAAGCACACCCAUUUGCUAGUUACGUUAUCAUCACGUAUCCAAUUCUUUUAAGUCUUUUAAGUCAUAACACUUUCUUUUUUUUUUUUGCAGAGUGAAAUUUUUUUAUGUAACUAGAGAAAGAUAAUUGGCUCAAUAAAUAGACUUCAGUACAUAAAACAUCCCAAAAAGCUUGGGGAGAAGAUAAGACAUUAUAUAAGUGCACAAAUUAGAAACACCUGAGAAACGGGCUAGACUUAGAACAAAGGAGUCACAAAGCUCUACCAAAUUACGACACAUUAUUUUUAUGAUGCAAACACAAAACGAAGUUUCUAUUUCAAGACCUAAAAAUUGUCUUCCCUCACACUAUGCGACCAUGUUACAAACAGAAGUCCACAAACAAAAACAAAAGAAAGGAAAAUGAACCAGAUUCAAAUAUGAGUCCUCCUCAAGAUGAUCGGCGCCCCAUACCGAGGCUGUAAGGUCACAAGAGGCAUCGGAGCAUGAACAUACGAAGGCGACACCUCAAAGGUGAAUCGCCUAACCAGCAUGGCCAGAACAACCUUGGCCUCGACCAUGGCCAAGUUCUGGCCUACGCAGGUUUUGGGGCCGAGCCCGAACCCGAGGAACGCGGCCAGGUGGUUCCGGGGCUUCGUGAAUCUUGUUGGGUUGAACUCAUCCGCGUCUUCGCCCCACAUCUCGGGGUCGCGAUGCACAGUAGAGAAGGCCAAGUAGAGCUCCGUUUUUGCUGGAAUUUGAAGGUCUCCUAGCUGCACAUCUUCAAGGGUUUGCCUCGUCACUGUCACCACAGGAGGGUACAGUCUGAGUGUUUCAUUCAAUACCAUCGUUACCUGUUCAAAAAAAUAACAUAAGCAAGAUGUAAGUUUGAGUGAACACAAAAUGUUUAAUUUUUCCGUCAGACUAAAUUUUCAAAACUUAGGCAAAUGGAGUGGUGAAAUAGGUUAUUAGGAAAAUUUGCGCCAGUCGAAUUCCAGUUGAUAGCAGUGAGCAUGUUCAAAUAGUGAAUUUAGCACAUUAGAUUGACCCCAAUCGAAGAAUGAGCUCGCUAAGCGAUACUCAUACAAUUAAUCUGGACUGUGCCUCCAUGCAUAAUAUAACAAACAUUGGAAGAUAGUCCAUGUCAUGUACAAUUUCUUCUUAUAUAGGUAGUAAGUGAGACAAUUUAAACUUCUUGCUUGAAUGUGCACAGAAGUUCUUCAUCACACACAUCAGACUAUUAAAUUACCACCAUCUCAUUCUUGGAUUGGUCCCGCGGAUUUGAUGAUGGAGUUGCAAACCUUUUCUUCCAUCUAAGAAGCUAGCCAAAGCUCGACAAACGAUGAAUUUUUUGUAUAAGACAGUAAACCCAUGAAGAAAAACUAAACGGGUCUGUUUGUAGUAAUGUGACUAGCGAGGAAUAGUGAUUGACUUACAAUCUUGAGCUCGUUCAGAUUUUCAGCACCCGGUAGCCCGGUUUUCCCGCUGACGCGGAUCACUUCUUCCCGGGCCUUGUCCUGCCAUUCCUGGUGCUUCGCCAGGAGGAGAAGCGCCCAAGUGAGAAGCAUGGCCGUCGUUUCUUUUCCCGCGAAGUAAAAAGUCUUGCAUUCGUCUAUGACUUCCUCCACUCCUAAUCUUUCUUCUUCGUGGGAUGAUGUUAGGAGAGCGAGAAAAUUGGACAAAUUCUCUCUCGAUUUCAAGUUGUUCUCAAUCAGCUUCAAGACCGCGUGCCGGAUUUCCUUCUCUAUUCUCCAUCUCUGCCUGUUCUUCCGAGUCGGUAGGAACCUGUGUAUUGAGUGAAACAUGUGAUGGUCUAAUCUUCCAUGGAUAUGAAGACUCCGGUGAGAGCUAGAGAGAUAGUUUAGGACUGCUCUAAAAAAUAGAAAGGUAAUAAUUCGUGAUUAAACAAGACACAUCAUUGAAUCAUGACUUUUCCUAGAAAUAAGAUCAAGAAUGACUUCUUAGAAAUAGAAACGAUGCCACAUACGUCCUUAGAUAUAAUUUGUACAUAUGUAACAACUGAGAAUGUGAGUGGAGUAAAUUUUUUUAUUGCCUGAAAUGGAGCAACUUAAAUUAGACCUGAAGCCAGGAAUGUAAAUGUUCUGGUUGGCUUGAGUGAAGAGGUGCAUCUGCUGCUCUUGCAAGGCGAAUAUGCGCUUGCCCUCUUCGAAGCUGCUCCCGAAAGCAGUCCUCGAGAUGACGUCAGCCGAGAGCCCUUGUAGUUCCUUAAACACCUCCACCUCGAACUCCUCUCUUUCUCCUCGCAUCUUGUCCCACGUGUCCAGGAUCUUGGCCGCACUCGCCACGAUCUCCGGGAUCCACCCCUACUCAAAAUGAAAGGAAACGCAUGCUGUGAAGUCCGUCCAGUGGUAGACGUGAUGAAGAAAACCGCUCGCAGUGCAAAAGAGCAGUUGAUCUUCGCCAAAUUGCCAAUGACUGUACGGCAAUUUAAAGAACAUAAAACUAGCUUCUGCUUGGUUUACUCACUGCCAUUUUCAGAUUACAUUUGCAUCAUGACCUCUUUUACCACAGAAUGCGCAAUCCCUUGCUCCAAAGCUUCAACUUUCAGAGUUGCAAUGUUAAAGCUUUCAUUUUUAGUAUUGAAAACAUAUCCCGAGUCUAAACCUGUAAAGGAAACCCCAAUUCAAGAAGUUCUAGUUUGAGUAAGGUUUCUAAAAGGGUUCCUAUUUUGGAUCAAAAUCUUUUCUAUAUAAGAAAUUGGUCUUCUUUGUGAAUCGCAUGUAAGGGGAGCUUUCGAUGUUCAAGCUUUUAAAGCAAGGAAUUAUGAGGCUAAAUAUCGUUUAAGUUAUUGGGAGUAAUUAAGGGCCGGAAAACACUAUGAGUUUGAGUAAAUCAAGUGCUUUUAGUAAUUUUUAUUACAUCAUUUGAUUUAUAGUAGAAUCAUGUACCGCUCUCCUGUAGAGUAGGUCCCACCAACCGAAACAUCCUCUAGUGGACUCAUCUUUGCAGAUGUGUGUUCGAUCUCCUCGUUGAAAUGGAUGUAACAUGGGUUUUGCUUUAUUUGUGGUACAUGGGGUUGUGUUUGCAAAUCCUUAGGGAGCGAUUAAAGGUGUAGAUAUAAUUAGUAUCCUAAUAAGGUCUAGGGAGUUGGCUUGAAAGAUUUUUAUGGCGGUCUUUCCCAUCACGGGUUGUGGGAAGAGUAGCGGCAAAGUCCAAAUUCUAAGAAGAGAUUGUUGAGCCAACAUGGAGAUUGUUGAAAAUCUAUCUUGAAUUUGUUUCCUUAAAGGAAAUUCAAUUCAAGUAGGACUCCUAAUUUGAGUAGAUUUCCUAGUUGAAUGAUUUUUUAGUUUGAGUGGUUUCCUAAUAAGAGUACAUUUCCUAAAAGGAGCUUCCUUUGUUGGAUCCCAAACUUUUCUAUUUAAGAAGCGGUCUUCUUUGUGAAUCGCAUCAAAAAAGAGCUUUUUGGUGUUCAAGCCAAUAAAUCUUGUGGUAAAUUUCGUAAAUUUCUUUAUGAGAUUGAAAUAUUACUUCACGAGAAAUUACAAGGACUAAACGCCAUGUAAAUUAUUUAGUGUAAUUAGGGGCUAGGAAAUAGUGAGAUGUUUGAGUAGUUCGAGUAUGGUUGUACUCUCUAUUGUGUUGCUCGAUCUAUUGUGGAAUGCAAUGCUCUCCUCAGAGACUGGGUCUUGCUAAUUGAAUAACGUAUAUCUAAAAUCCGAUUUAUUUUCUUGUUCCGUUUCUUUAUUGUUUGAUUCUUUGUUUUUUCGUAACAUUACAUAUUACUUUGCAGUGUGUUGGGUUGUGCAAGACUAAGAUGUUGUGUUCAUAAAUCACGUCAAACAAUGACAUGGUAUGUAUGCGAUGACAAAUUGAUAAUUUAUACUGCCUCCGAUACUCACCUUAACUCUCUCCAUAGUAAAGGCCUGGUUAGCGAUCCGCCGGUGAAUGGCCCACUUCUCGCCCACUAGCCCAACAAGACCUUGCCCGAACAGCUCCCGAGCCUGUGGGUUGAACUCGACCUGGUCGUACAACCUGCCAGUAUUCGUCAGGACCUCCUUGAUCAUGUCCGGGUCCGAGAUGCCCAGCAUAGGCCUCGACCCGAACCAAUAUACAAAAGUCCUCCCGUACUUGAGGGACCAGUGGUGGAAGAAAGGAGCCACCCUGUGCAGGAUCCUGUGGUCGAACGGCAUAGGCUUCGACUGAGCCUCUGUGAAAAGGCGUUUGAUCUCCGCCGUGUUGCCAAGGAUCGGACGGUAGCCGGGCCCCCGGACGCCUUGCUUUGUGAAGUGGCGCUGUAGCUUUAGCGGGGUAAAGAGAUUGGAGUAUGUGAAUUUCGAGAGGAGGAUGAGGAUUAGCAAGAGGACUGAAACCAGAAGCCAUGGCAUCGUCGGAGGGGGGCGGGGGGUGGAGAAUGAGAGGUUCACAAGGGGUUGGAAAGAUAUGGAGUAAAAUGGGUCUUAAAUAGAGGUUAGGUCAAACUGUUAUGCUUUUUCCAAAUAAUUUUGUGGUUUUGCGAUGAAAAAUUAUUUGCGAGUGCUUUCAGUACUUUUUAAUCAUGUCUAAUGAAGAAUUAUUUGCAUUUACAAUAUAUUAAUUAUAAAUAAGAGAAAGACGGUCUUCCGUAAAUGAAAAAGGUCCUUUAAUGGGGCACCUGUUAAACACCCUUGUAACAAAAGCUUGUGGUUUUUAAUAUACUCUUGUGUUAUGUGUGAUCAAUUGAAAAUAGAGAUGUAAUCAAGUCGAGUUACUUGCAAAUAGCUCAGACUCGACUCAAUGAUGAUUGUAUUGAGGUAAAGCGAUCUUCAAAAGGACAAUAUUAUAUAUAUAAUGUAAGAUAAGUGAGAAUGAUGAGAAAAGAGGUGAUAAGACAAAAAUGGAAAUGGCUUUCAAGAUCUCAAAUCUUUCCGAAUUGAAAUCUCGAGCCUCCAAUUUUCCAUGAAAGAGGAUGGAGUGCAUGCUAGGCUGAUAGUGAAAGUUCACCUACUCACGUACGAAAAAGAUGAAAUUUUUAAAAGACAACUUUCUUAGGUUUACGCUUAGGAAAAUGAAAUGGUGACAGCAUCAUUACUUUCUAGAGACUCCCACCACAAAUUUUCUCAAAGAAACCGAACAAAUUCCUGAGAAAAUUGUGAAUCCACAGACGAAGUGGAUUCUUUUAAAUUAAAAUAUUAAAAAAUUAAGAAAAUAAAAAAAAAAAUCUUUAUUACAACCUCUAGCUCUAUAUGCAACCUUAAUAAGUUCUAACUUCUUUUUUUUGCCAGUCAGAUGGUGAUUACAGGCUGCUCUACCUUAAACCUUCGCAAUCCUAGUGGAUUAAAAUUUAUGAUUUGGAUCGACUGAUGUAGGAGACUUAUGGUAGUCACAAUAUGGAGUAUUUGUGCUAAUCCCCGUUUUCAUCCUUUUAUCCAUAAAAAGAAAAUGAAUAUCUUUUCUCCAGAAACGAGUUUAAUUACAAAGAGCUUAUCUUGUUUGGUUCAUAUGAACUUAUAAUUUGGGUCAAUUAUGUAUGGUCUAAACAAAAGAAAAAGCAAAAAAAAAAAAAAUGGGGAUUAACGCAAAUACUCCAUAUUGUAAACAAAAGAAAAGGCAACAAAAAUGGGAAAUCAAAGAUUGGCUUGUGUUUCAAUUUGUUACAAUACAUAAAUAUUGAUACAAAUAUCUAGAUAUAACUUUUAGUAAUCUCUUAAAAUUUAAAUAAUGUUUUAGAUUUGAUGAGAAAGUGAAAAAGUUAAUUUUGACUUUUAAUGAAUGUGGAUGAACAACUGUAAUAGAAAUUAACAUAUAAGUGAAUUAACAUAACUGGAAUUAAUAUAAAUUGCAUCACCAUCAAAGACACCAACCAUAGAAAAGCACUUCACCCGCCUAUUAAUAUUUCGUGUUCAAAACGGGAGCAUAUUUUUUUUAGAGAUCACGUGGAACACGCAUUGUUCCAUUAUUGAAUUAAUUAAUGUAGGCUAAUUUUAUAGAAUAUACAUUUAGAUUCCUCAAGUCAAAAAAAUUGAUGUUGACUUUUGAUGAAUGUGGACUUUUGAUGAAUGUGGACGACAGUAAUAAAAAUUAACAUAUAAGUCAAUUAACAUAAUUUAAAUUAAUAUAAAUUGCAUCAUCAUCAAAGACACCCACCAUCUUUACCCAACUAUUAAUAUUUCAUGUUCAACACAGGAAGUGUAUCUUGUUGAGAGAUCACGUGAAACAUGCAUUGUUCCAUUAUUGAAUUAAGUAAUGUAGGCAUAUAUUAUAAAAUAUACAUUUAGAUUCCUCCAAGGAAUUUGUGGCCAACAAGUCUCCACGAAAGAUAAUGGCGACCGUUGGGAUUGCGGUGCCUUGAUUUUGAGCUUAUCACUGGCAAAACCAAGUGGAAAAAAGAAGGUUAGGGAUAGGUUCAACGAGGAUGAUUGUCUCUUUUAUGUGAGGUUUCACAAAUUUUGCAAGGCCGAUCCUCUCACGUGAUCAUACGAUCAGAUGGGUUCCAUGUGAGCCCAUCUCAUUGGUGCAUGCUGACUGCAAAAGAGCAACCAAGAGCAUUUCCUACAUGCCCAUUUCCUACUGCAAAAGAGCCACAUUAGCACUUACAUGUCCAUUGCAUCUUUCGGGCUACUGAGGAGGGAGACGAGUCCUAUGAUGGCCAAAAGGAGGACGUGAACCGAUCGGCUUGCCAUCAAGCAUAAAAGGUUCUCAGUAAGUGAACUGCCGGUCGUGUCAUAUACAAUGUUGGGAUGCCAAAUCACAAGCUACAAAAAACAUGUAUAUCUAGUACCGACGGCGGGCAAUAGAUAAUUUUCAACAAGAAUUUUUUUCUCCCAUAAUUCAUUCGUUUUGCCUGAAAGAUUCCAAGAGAUGUCGCCAGCCACUUUAGACUUCAUGUGCCUAGGAGUGAUUCAUGUCAUAGUAUAGCCCUUCUUCUGACAAAGUGAUUCCGCCGGAUCCUCCAUCUAAUGCAUCCGAAAAUGCAUCUAAUCCCAAAUGCAAUCUCCACAAGCGUUAAGAAAACCUAUACAGAGUCAAUUCAUCCAAGAAUACGAUGCCUCGGCACAAGGACAUAAAUACAGCUAAUAUUACCUAUGUGGACUCGGACAUAAGCAAAUCUUAUAAGUGACCGCUAUGUACCCCAAUCAUCCUUUAGAAAAACCGGAUUGCCGCGGUGGAAAUAGACUGAGUUUUUCCAUAAGCACAUUAAUGGGUUUUUACACUGGAUUAUCCAAGAUUACAAUUACAGAGAAUAAAACAUAAAUAGCACAAAAUUUGACCAGGCAAAACCAAUCACGAGCGGCAGGUGUUGAAGAUUUCGCCUCGCAUCAUGUCGAUAGGCAUGUGUUCCGGAGUGUGACGUUCUGGACCAAGAUAAAGACCUGUUUCUCCAAGAAAGCCAGCCCUUCAUCCCUGCCGUAUUUCGAACUAUAGAGCUUCAAGUAUUCAUAGUCCUAAAAAAGCACAAAGACACGUCUUUUAGAAUAUGCAGUUACACAUCAGAUUAAGAAGUUCAACACCAAGCCUAUCAAAGAGCCAACUUUCAAGCUAAAACAUGGCACGCAUCUUUCUGUAUCAUACUACAGCCUCGGUCAAACACUACGACCCUAGCAAACACAUAACUAAUGCCUAAUUGGAUGGAAAAGAUGCAAAUUUUCGUUAGAGCAGGUGAAGAGGCAAAAAAGUGCUUUCCAUCAAGGGACGGAUCAAACCAAUGGCACCUCUCAAAGGCUUGUAUACAAUGGCACCUCUCGAUUUUAACUAUGAAAUUUAAUUCAAUUUAGGGUAUCGAACUUUCAAGAAUUUCAAAACUAAUUUAUUGAAUGUCGCGUCAUUUAUCUGUGAAUUAUCGUCAAGUUUAAAAGUUUUUGGAAAAGAAAUUAUCGAACAAAAAUUGGAAGCCGGAAAGGGAACCAAGACCAGUGGCAAAGUUGUGAAUUUUGGCCAAAAUCUUGGCUUUAAAGAAAAUGAAAAACGAAAAGAAGAUAAGGGGAACAAAAUGCUAUGAUAUGAGGAUUUAGGGAGAGUGGGUGAAGAGAAAUUAUAAGUUUUUGGAGAAAAAUCUCUCUCUCUCUCUCUCUCUCUCUCUCUCUCUCUCUCUCUCUCUCUCUCGACUUCAUUUUCAUCUUCAUCUCAUUCUUCUUCUUCCCCCUCCUCUCAAAGACCACCGCCAUCACCACCUUUGUUGCCACCAUCUACCCGUGCAUUUUCAUCUUCAUCUCAUUCUUCUUCUUCCCCCUCCUCUCAAAGACCACCGCCAUCACCACCUUUGUUGCCACCAUCUACCCGUGUCGUCCACCGCCCAUCCGUCAAGCUACAGUGCCGCCGUUAUUUUGCUGUUUCCGUAACCAAACCACCACCAUUGUCGGUGCACUAUUUGAAAGGAAAUGAGGUAUCGAGAGAAGAUCAAGAGAAUUCUGUAGGAAUUGUGUUCUCAUUGUAUUGAAUCAAUGUACAAUGCUCUGUAAAUAUAAUACAAGAUUGAUGUAAUAAAGGGAAGAAAAGGUUUGUAUAAACGAUUGACAUCAAUUCCUAACUAAUUUAUACACAAAUACAAUCGACCGAGAUUCCUUCUAAGUAUGUCUUCGGAAUCCAUCCAAUGCAUAUCUUCCAACACUCCCCCUCAAGCUGGUGGCUGGUAGAUAUCCAAGACGCUAAGCUUGCUUAAUAGAUAUGCAUGUUGUCUCUGACAUAGAGGUUUGGUAAAGAUGUCGGCAGGCUGUUCUACGGUUCCAAUCCCUCUUGUUUCAACUAUCCCUUGCUGAAUUUUCUCACGAGUGAAGUGACAAUCCACUUCUAUAUGCUUUGUUCUCUCGUGAACUAUGGGAUUCGCUGCAAGUUUGAGUGCCGCAUCAUUGUCGCAAAACAAUUUUGUUGGACCCUUUAAUUUGACUCCUAGAUCCCGAAGUAUUCCUCUUAUCCAUACGAUCUCACAAGUAGUCUUUGCCAUAGCUCGAUAUUCUGCUUCAGCUGAAGAUAAGGAUACGGUUGCUUGCUUCUUGGUCUUCCAAGAAAGAAGUGAUUUUCCAAGCUUAAUGCAAAAACCUGUGAUGGAUCUCCGGCUCAUAGGACAAGUCGCAUAGUCUGCAUCACAAUAUGCUGACAUUUCCAUCUUGCAUUUCCUGGAUAAGAGAAUCCCCAGUCCUGGACAGCCUUUCAAGUAUUUCACAACUUUUAAGGCAGCAUUCAUAUGAGAUAAUUUUGGACUAUGCAUAAACUGACUGAGGGUUUGUACUGCAUAUGAGAUAUCUGGUCUAGUCAUUGUCAGGUAUAUGAGUUUCCCAACAAGUAUUUAAUAACUCGAAGGAUCCUUAAGAACAGGAUCAUGAUUUUCUGAUAUCCCUUCAUCAUAGUCCUUGGUAGUCAAUUUUGUGUUUUGCUCAAUUGGAACGACCGAGGGUUUGCAUCCGGAUAAACCUGCUUUAGAAAUGAUUUCUAACACGAAUUUCCGUUGACUAAGAGAAAUCCCCUGAUCAGAUCGAGCAAUUUCAAUACCAAGGAAAUAUUUUGGUGCUCCCAGAUCCUUGAUAUGAAAAGUGGAAUGCAAGUACUUUUUGAAUCUCUUCAUUGCACUUUCAUCAUUGCCCAUGAUAAGGAUAUCAUCUACAUAAAUCAGCAGGUAGAUUGAUGACAUACCUUGACUCCAUGUGAAUAAGGCAUAAUCAUGUCUGGAUUGAUUGAAUCCUGUAGAUAUAAGGGCAUCGGCAAAUUUUGCAUACCACUGCCUAGAAGCCUACUUGAGACCAUAAAGGGAUUUGCAGAGACAACAUACUAUAUUCUCCCCCUGUCUCCGUAAACCUUGAGGAAUUUCCAUGUAUAUCUCCUCAUCUAAGUCUCCAUGAAGAAAAGCAUUAUUCACAUCCAUUUGAUGUAAAUGCCAAUCAUUGAUAGCAGCAACAGAGAGAAAUGAUCUUACAGUUACAUCCUUGGCUACUGGGGAAAAAGUCUCAUGGUAAUCGAAACCUUCCCGUUAAGUAAAUCCCUUAGCCACCAACCGAGCUUUGUAACGCUCUAUGGAACCAUCAGCUUUGUAUUUGAUUUUGUAGACCCAUUUGCAUCCAAUCGGCUUUCGGUUUGGAGGCAAUGUAACGAAAUCCCAGGUUUGAUUUGCAAUCAAAGCCUUCAAUUCGGCUUCCAUAGCUUCUUGCCAUUUGAGGUCAGUAACAGCUUGUUCAUAAUUGGAUGGUUCGUUGUCCUCCGAUAUCCGACUAACACAACAUCUAUGUUUCGGCGAAAGUUUAUGAAACGAAACAUAAGAUGAUAGUGGAUAAUGAAUACCUGGUGAGUUGAGAGUGGCGCACACAUAAUCCUUUGUCCAGGCUGGCGGACGUACAGAACGCCCAGACCGUCGAGGAUAAUCCACUUGCAGUGGAGCGGGUGAUGAAGAUUCUUGCGCAUCCACUAGUGUUGGGACAGGAUAUGGAGGUGAUAUAUCUUCAAUCACAACUUCUGCUUCAGUUGGUGAUUGAUUCUCAUGGACUGGACUUGCAGCAUCAUCUAAUGGAGAACUCUCAUAUGGAUGGUGGGUCAUGACGGGAUGUUUUGUCAGAAUAAAUCCAUUAUCAGUUGGAUCUUCUAUGGAAUGAGUUGAAUGCCAUGAGAUCUCUUAUGUUUCCUUCGAGGAAUCCUGGUUAUGGAAUGGAAAAAUGUCUUCAUGAAAAUGGACAUCUCUGCUAAUAAAGAAUUCCCAAGUCGUCUGAUCCAGAACACGAUACCCUUUCUGCAAAUUUGGGUAUCCCAUGAAGAUGCAACGCCUGGCCCGUGGGCCCAUUUUAUCGCGGGGUGAUAAUACCGUUGCAUAACACAGACACCCGAAAAUUCGUAGGUGUUGUAUUUCUGGCUGUCUUUUGAAAAGCAACUCAAAUGGAGAUUUUCCAUUGAGUACUCGCGUGGGCAUGCGAUUAAUGAGAUAUGCCGCAGUCAGGAUACAUUCACCCCAAUAUUCUUCUGGAAUGGACGCUUGAAACUUUAAAGCUCUUCCAACUUCUAGGAGAUGAUGGUGUUUGCGCUCCACUACCCCAUUGUGUUGUGGGGUAUAUACACAGGAACUUUCGUGGAGGAUCCCACUGGAUGAAAGAAGGGAAUUGCAAUCAUUGCUGAAGAAUUCUUUCCCAUUGUCUGUCCUCAUGCGCUGAAUAGAUUUUCCAAAUUGAUUUUUGGACAAGGCAAUGAAGUUUCUCAAAUUUGAGAAAACCUGUCCCUUGGACUGCAUCAAGAAAACCCAUGUGGCACGAGAAUAAUCAUCCACAAUUGUUAAAAAAUAUCUUGACCCAUCAUGAUUCUGUGUAUGGUAGGGACCCCAGAUAUCGACAUGGAUCAGUGAAAAAAUAUCAAGUGCACGAUUUUGACUAGAGGGAAAAGGAAUACGAGACUGUUUUGCAAGGGGGAAUAUUUGACAUUUAGAAUAAGGGAAAAAAGUACUAUGACCCAAUCUUGAAUGCAUAAGGAAUUCUUUAUCAUUGGUAGUUGCAUUACACAAUGACUUUUUAUUUAAAAAUAUAUAUGACAAAUCAAGAUUACUUGGGAAAUUUUUCCAAAGGAACAGUCCUUCAGAGAGACUACCAAUGCCCAUCACUUUGCUAGUCGAAAGGGCCUGAAAAAAACAAGUGUCAGAAUCAAACUGUAUACGGCAGGAAUUUUCUUUACAGGCUUUGGAGACAGAGACAAGGUCGAAUCAAAAUUCUGGGACAUAAAGCACAUUUGUGAGAGUAAUUUGGGGACUAAGUUGGACUUUCCCUGUAAUUGCAACAUAAGUAAUAGUGCCAUUGGAUAAUUGCACAGAAAUGGGAAAAUCCAAUUUCGCAUUUAUUUCUGAAAAAAAUGCCUUAUCACAAACUAUGUAAUCACUGGCUCCAGAGUCAAUUAUCCAAUUAUUUCUUGAGAUACUGUUGACUAAGCAGCGAGAGAUACCUGAAAAAUUCCCCCCUUUGUUGGUGGUGUCCAAUUUAUUCAUGGCCUGCAUUAGUUGUUGAUAUUGCUCAUAUGUAAUAGAUUUAUCAACAUGGGACCCACUAACUUGAUUGGCUGCAGAAAAUUCUUUUUUUCUCCCCAUUUCUCCAAGUUUGCCGUGUAACUUCCAACAAUUCUCAAUCGUAUGGUGCGGCCGACGACAAAAUUUGCAAUAUAAUUUACCUUUUCCUUUAGAAAAUUUUUUCGCAUAUGCCGAAAAAAUCCCACCGUCGGAUCCUUUCCCGCUCGCCUCAUCUCCACCGUCCGAUCCAGCGAAGUGGAUCAAGCCUUUCUGGCCGUUAGAUCGUCGCGGAUGAUCUGGACCGCCCAUCCCUUCAUUUUUAAGGGUGCAUCCCUCAUCAAUCCGGAACCCUAGCGCCUCCUGCAUCCCCCCUUUUCGUGCGCUAGGGUUUUGGCUCCUGGAUCUCGUGGCGGAUCUCGCCGUUCUCCUCGGCUCACGAGAGCGAAACUUCCUGCUCCCUUCGUCGGCUCCGAGGAUGCGAGUCUCUGGCUCUCUUCCUGGACGGCGAAUUGGAAGAUUCGCCCGAGUGGUGGCGCGGGCUCCAUGGCCAAGAUCUGGGACCGAAAACUCAGGUACGAUUCGUUCAGUAUAAGGAGAAAUCAGGUUGCCUUUUCCCUUUCUUUUAUGGAGCGAUAUUGUGCAAGAGUCGCCUCUGGUCCUUCAAGCCUUUCUUCCGCGGCUUCGAGAUCGUUCCAUAAGGAUGAUAAUUUGUUAUAACAGGCCGCCGCGGUCAUGUUCCCUUGUUUUAAAUCGCUGAGUUCCUGCAAAAGGGAAAAAAUUCGUGCCCGAUCUAACUUUCCGUACAUCUAUUUGAUGUUGUCCCAUAUGGUUUUCGAGUCUUCUGUUGGUGGUAGGCCAGCGGCAACCUCUGGAGAAAUGCAAUUGUCGAUCCAUGUCCUUACGAGCUGGUUGCACUUUCUCCAGAAUCGAGCCAGGCGUUCAUCGGCAGGAAUCGGAACCGCCCCGUCGAGGAAUCCAUCUUUGUCCUUCGUCACGAGGGCGCACCGGAAGUCUCGAGCCCACCUGUGGUAAUUCUUCGGUCCGGUCAACUGUAAGUUGAUUAGUUUCAAUUCAGGGCCGUCGGCCGUUGAGACAUGCAGGGGGUCACCCAGCUCUGGUCGCCCGGUGACGGCAGUGACGGGGAAUGGCAUGAAUCCGGGUGCAAGAUUCGAGUAGGGAUUCGUUCCUUGACCCGAUUCGUUUGAGCCGAAUUGAUAACCCGCAUUUGAAAAUCCCGGGUAGGGAUUCGUUCCCAUACCCGGUUCUCCAGACCCACUUCCAGACCCGAUUACCUGCUCCACUCCGGGGUUCGAGUUUGCCCCAUUCACGGUUGGUAGACUCCCCUCGGAUUGGACGUGGGCUCCUUGGUGGCCCACAUGAACAGGCGAUAAUGUAUUCGGGCUUGCCCCGAGAUACCAUGGGUAAGGUAUCCACUGGAACGGUUGACCCGCAAAGGGUUGCCCCAGUCCGAACUGAGCCUGUGUGGGUCUCCAUUGAAUCGGUUGAUUUUGGAGUGUUUGUUGUUGCGUUUCUGCAGGAGAAUCUUGGAUCUGCAAUGGUGGUGAAGCAUCUGGGGUGGACUGGUUAUCAGCCAUAGAAAAUUCAGAGGCUGAAGGUAAGGAUAAAAAAACAGAAGCUCUUUUCUUCUUUCUCGAGAGUGGUUCCUAUCACAGAAGGUAGAUCUGUUGAGUUAUUUCAAAUCUCCUUUGGCAGGCAACCAGGAGCGGAAGCGAGGAAAAGAAUCAGAAGCCGAAGCUCUGAUACCAUGAAAGGAAAUGAGGUAUCGAGAGAAGAUCAAGAGAAUUCUGUAGGAAUUGUGUUCUCAUUGUAUUGAAUCAAUGUACAAUGCUCUGUAAAUAUAAUACAAGAUUGAUGUAAUAAAGGGAAGAAAAGGUUUGUCUAAACGAUUGACAUCAAUUCCUAACUAAUUUAUACACAAAUACAAUCGACCGAGAUUCCUUCUAAGUAUGUCUUCGGAAUCCAUCCAAUGCAUAUCUUCUAACACUAUUGCCCAAGCCAAGCCAAGCCCAAGCUUGGCCAUGGGUUUUGAGGGGCCGCCGUUGCCACGCCACCUUCACCAUCGCUUGUCCGCACCAUCACCAUUCACCGUCCUCACCAUUGCCGCAAGCCACCAUCGAAUGCCCCUCCUUCCCUAGCCAAGCCAUGGGUCUUAAGUGCUGAGCCACCACUGUUUGUGCCACCGCUCGAGUCGUGAGCCCUGUGUCCUUGACGCCGUCACGCCGCCAUCGCCACAAGCUCACCACCGCUGGAAAACUACAAGUUAACUGCUAAUCUUUGAUUAUGAAAUCAAUUGCGUUUAGAGUUAGAAUUAGUUUAGGGAUAAUGGUAGUUAGUAGCCUAAAAUGAUGGUUUAUCCCUAAUUAUGGUUAAGGGUGGAUUAGAUUAAGGCUAAUAGAUGUUAGUCUUAAUUAAGAAUGGUUAUUUUAAUUAAUUAUGGUAGUCUAAUUAAGCAUGAUUAGCUUAAUUAAUCAUAAUCGGGUCAAUUAAUUAUAUUUAGUUUAAUUGAUCACAAUUAGAGUAAUUAAUGACGGUUAGUCUUGAUAAAGUAAAGUUAGAUUAAUUAAUAAAACUAGUUUAAUUAAUCGCGAUUAAGGUAAUUAAUCGAUGUUAGCUUAAUACUAAUUAAUCGUGUUAGUGGAAAUUAAUGAUGGAUUAGUCAUCAAGUAUAAUUUUAUGGUCGCUUCAUUGGAUGAAUUUAUACAUAAUUUUGAUUGUUUGAGCUUGUAAUGCCAUGAUAUUUGGUUGCCCAAAUAAUGUAUUUUAAAUGCUAUUUUCAAAAAUGUUUUAUUGAUAAGAAAACAACAAACUUAGGAGUGUCGUAUUUGGACGCCGUGUUUUAGUGCCAAAUGGGGCAAUGGAGAUUUAAAAUGAAAGCGAGCAAAGUUUGAUGUGUUGAUUUGAAGUACAUGACCACGUGCGAUUAUUUUAUUAUAAUUUUAACAGUAAAAAUUUCCGAGAUAUGUUAUUUGAACACGAACCACAUCUGCAUUGGCUAAGUCAAAAGAUAAAAUUUGCUUGAGUGGUUGAGUGUUCGUGUGGUUACAUAAUGGCCCCAAUGUGUAUGAUUAUGGGGGGUAAUGGUUCCAUCUUGAUGCGUAUGAAAAUGCGAGACAAUACCCGAUUUUUAUCAAAUGCCUAGUAGGAGUUCGAAUGCUAAGUCACAGUUGAGACCAAACCGAAGCUCCUAAUGGAAUGUCAUCCUGAUGCGUAUGAGUACGCAAGGCGUUGUCAUACCCGAUGGGAUGGGACGAUGCCCGGUCAUACCGAAAGACUGUCAACUCUUGUAUUGACUGUGUCCCAAGUAGUCGUAAUAAUUGGAAUAAAUGUGUUGACAACACGAUGAAAUUUAUAGAAUGUGUUCGGAUUAUUGUUUAUACUUGUUGCAUUGACAUUGCCAUAUUUGAUAUACUAAUGUGCAGGGGUGUGUGAAGGUGAGGUAAGUUUAUAUAUCAUGCGCGUUUAGGCCUUUUUCGAGAUGAAUUCGCAUCUUAGUCGAGGCUUAAGCUAUUAACUCGCUGAGAUUUUACCUCACUCCGUUGUUGACUUUUCAGGCCGUAGUGAUGGAACGCCCUGAUCGUUUUUGGGUCCCCAUGUCUUUUGAGUGGGAUGUGACAGAGUAUGCCAUCGAGGGGACCAAGACGACAGUCGCGAAGCACACCACCACCUUCUGGGUGCAAGAGGGCCUAGACCUCCUAGUUCACCAUCGUUUCGUAGCUUGGUUCAUCAAGUUUGACGAGGAUCUCCUUGGUCCUUUCCCAAGGAUCAAUGGUCUCUUGUAGUGGACUAAUGCCGGUGUGGAAAUCACCUUUUUAGAUGGCUGUACUCUCUAUUGUGUCGCUCAAUUUAUCAUGGAAUGCGGUGCUCUCCUAUUAGACUAGGCCCCACCAAUUGAAUAAUGUAAAUCUAAAAUCCAAUUUAUUUUCUUGUUUUGUUUCUUUUAUUGUUUGAGUGUUUGUUUUUUUCGCAACGUUUCAUAUUACUGUGCAGUGUGUUGGGUUGUGUAGGACUAAGAUGUCGUGUUCAUAAAUCAAGUCAAACAAUGACAUGGGAUGUAUGCGAUGACAAUUUGAUAAUUUAUACUACCUCCAAUACUCACCUUAACCCUCUCCAUAGUAAAGGCCUGGUUAGCGAUGAACAGCCCACUUCUCGCCCACCAGCCCAAAAAUGCCUUGCCCCGAACAGCUCUCGAGCCUGCGGGUUGAACUUGAUCUGGUCAUAUGACCUGCCCGUAUUUGUAAGGACCUCCUUGAUCAUGUCCGGGUCCGAGAUGCCCAGCCUAGGCCUCGACCCGAACCAAUAAGUCCUCUCAUACUUGAGGCCCCAGUGGUAGUAGAAAGGAGCCACCCUGUGGAGGAACCUGUGGUCGAACGGCAUGGGCUUCGACUGAGCCUCCACGAAUAGGCGGUUGAUCUCUGCCAUGUUGCCAAGGAUCGGACGGUAGCCGGGCCCCCGGACGCCUUGCCUUGUGAAGUGGCGCUGUAGCUUUAGCGGGGUAAAGAGAUUGGAGUAUGUGAAUUUCGAGAGGAGGAUGAGGAUUAGCAAGAGGACUGAAACCAGAAGCCAUGGCAUAGUUGGAGGGGGGAGGGAGGUGGAGAAUGAGAGGUUCACAAGGGGUUAAAAAGAUACCGAGUAAAAUGGGUCUUAAAUAGAGGUUAGGUCAAACUGUUAUGCUUUUUCCAAAUAAUUUCGUGGUUUUGCGAUGAAAAAAAUAUAUAAUAUAUUGGGGUUUCAUUAGCGUGUGCUUUCAGAGUACUUUUUAAUCAUUUCUAAUGAAGAAUUAUUUGCACUUACAAUAUAUUAAUUAUACAUAAGAGAAAGACGGUGUUCCGUAAACGACAAAGGUUCUUUAAUGGGGCACCUGUUAAACACCCUUAGUGGUUAUUAAAACAUUGUCUUGUCUGUGCCGUGGGUGAUCAAUUGGAAAUAGGGGUGUACUCAAGUCAAAUCACUUAUGAAUGUCUCGAACUCGACUCGAUGAUUACUCAAGAUCAACUCGCCUAAUUUCGAGUCCAGCUCGAACUCACUGAUACGAAGUUCGAUAAUCUUCCCAAAUUAAUCAAUCUAGAUCAAGUUUCUAUUUUAACAGUUAAAAAGUACUUUUUAACUACAAAAAAAGGAGCAUAAAGUCUUUAAAAUAACAUGGUUUACCUACACACACAUAUAUUUAUAUCUGUAUAAAUAGGUGGGGAAAAGUACAAAGAAAAAAAAAAUCUUAAACCUACUACACUUGUAUCAAUUCAAUCCUUUUAAUUAUACUAAUAAUAUAAUAUUUUUUUUGACAAUUUGACAAUGUAAUUUUAGUCAAAAAUCGUUGACUAGCAAUCCAUUCAGCGUCAGUCAUCCUACGUGGUCCUACAUCGCAUUAGUCGAUGCUAACGUGGAUAUUUUCUUAAUUUUUUAAUUUUUCCAAACUUUUUUAUUGAUUUAUUUCUUUUCUUUUAUUUUCAUAGGGCUAGCACCACUGACUGAGAUCUAGUGAAGGCUUCGUGACCCUAGCCUAGGGGUCAACAAGGGUCACAGUCCUAUGAAGAAAAAAGAAAAAAAAAUUAAUGAAAAUUUUUAAAAAUUAAAACAUUAUUCAUGUUAGUACCGGCCAUCCAAGUGCCAAGUGACGUCCAUGUCACUAAUUUCCGACUAAAAUUGAUGGGAUAAACUACAUUAACAAAUCAUCAAAACAUUUGACAAAAAAUGUGAAGUAUACGAGAAUUGAAGGGAUUUCUUGUGUUGAUUUCUAUAUGAAUUGUAUACAUUUACAGAGUCCUAUUUAUAAUACAAUGAAUAGGAACAAAAAUGGGAAAAGAAAUAUAAAGGAUGACAUUUCCUAGUUUACCAAACCAAUUACAGAUUGACUAAAUCAAUUAACCCGUAAUUGGAAUCAAUAUCCAAACCAAUAUCUCCAAUCAUUUCUUCAACACUCCCGCUCAAACUGGUGGUCGAUUUAUGUCAAGAACGCUUACUUACUUAAUAAAUGUGAGUGUUGUCUUCGGCUCAAUGGUUUGGUGAGUACUCCUUCUUCGAUCUUUUCUCAAGUAAAGUAAAAAUCAACCUCUAUAUGUUUUGUUCUUCUAUGGAAAUUUGGAUUCGCUGCUAGUUUGAAGACGGCAUCAUUAUCACAUAAUAACUCACUUGGUCCAUCAAUUUUAACUCCAAGGUCUGUGAGUAAUCCUUGUGUACAAACUAUCUCACAAACAGUCUUUGUCAUAACUCGAUAUUUUGAUUCAGCUAACGAUAAUGAAACUGUUGACUAUUUCUUUAUCUUCCAUGAAAUUAACGAUUCCCAAUUUGAUGUAAAAGUCAGUGAUGGAUCUUCCGAUCAUUAGGUAAGAAGCAUAAUCCAUUUCACAAUAGGUUGUCAUCUUAAUAUUACAAUCUUGAGACAAUAAAGUCCGAAGUCCAGGAUAUCCCUUCAAAUACUUUACUACUUUCAGUGCUACAUUCAUAUAAGACUACUUUGGAUUUUGCAUAAAUUGGGAGACUAUGGAAGUUCCAUAUAGAUUUAUUCUUCCAAAUCUCCAUGUAAAAAGGCAUUAUGGACAUCCAUUUGAUGCAACUGUCAAUUGCGAAAAGCAACAUUAGAUAGAAAAGAGCAAAAGUAGUUACCUCUUUUGCAACUAGAGAGAAGGUCUUACAGUAAUCAAGUCUUCUUGUUGCAUAAGUCCUUUAGCAACCACACGGGUCUUGUAUCUUUCAAUGUAACCAUUUACUUUGUAUUUGAUUUUAGAUACCCAUUUGCACCCAAUGGGUUUAUGAUGCGGAGGUAAUGGAAUGAUAUCCCAAGUGUGAUUUUCCAUAAGUGCUUGCAAUUCAGCUUCUAUGGCACCUUGCCAACAUGGAUCAUGUAUUGCCUCUAUGUAAGAGGCUGGUUCUUAUUCUUUAGAGAUACGACCAAUACAACAUGCAUGCUCUGGGGACAAUUGACCAAAGAACCAUACAAGGACACCGGGUAAUGUGUACUUGGAAAAUCCAACGUCAAACAUAUAUAGUCUUUGGUCCAUCUGGAAAGGCAAAUAGAACGUCCAGAGCAUCGAAGUUGUCGAGUGAUUGUCUCUUUAGGAAUUGCGGGAAAAGAUUCAAUGGCAAGAGGUGAUGGAGAUGCCAUUGAUGAAUAAGAUGAAUGAUGCUCCUCAUAAGAUGUUGGUGAUUCAGAUGUUGCGUUUAAUGAAUCAGGAUUGGUUGGCCCAACUAGUCCCAGCGUCAUCAAAAUGUAGGAUCCCUUAAUAAAUCAUCUUCUAACAAGAAAAGCUCGUGACUAGAUGAGGAAGCAAUUGGUUGGGACGAAGACACUAUUGUUUCAAAUGGAAAUACAUCUUCAUGAAAAACAACAUCCCUACUGGCAAAAAAGCACCCCGAAGAUAUUUCCAUAACCUGAUAACCCUUAUCCCAUGAAAAAAUAUGGAAGGGCACAAGGAUCUAUUUUAUCCCCAAGGCCCACAGUUGCAACAUAAGCUAAGCAUCCAACAACUCUUAGAUGAUCAAUCAUAGUUUGCCUUGCACAAAGCAUCUCAAAAGGUGUUUGACCUUCAAGGAUUCGAGUUGGCAUACAAUUAAUUAAAUAGGUUGCCGUAAUCAUAAAAUCACCCCAAAAAAUUUCAAGAAUUGAGGCUUGAUAUUUUAGAGCUUGAGCUACUUUCAAAAGAUGUCAAUGUUUGCGUUCUACAAUCCCAUUUUAUUAAGGAGUGGAGGUGCAUGAGUUUUAAUGGAGUAUCCCUUGAGAGGAUAGAAAGGAAUUGCAUUCACCAAUGAAAAACUCACAGCCAUUAUUGGUACAAAUCUUUUGGACUAUUUUGUCAGACUAAUUCUUAACUAAGGAGAGGAAUUUCGAUAAAUGAGAAAAUGUUUCUUUAUUGCAUAAGAAAAACCCAAGUGGCACAGGUAUAAUCUUCGACAAUAGUUAGGAAGUAUCGAGAUCCAUCACGAUGGGGAGUAUAAAAAGAACCCCAGAUAUCCAUGUGAAUCAAAGAGAAAGGACUUGCAGCUCAAAAUGUACUAAUUGAAAAUGAUGCUCAGGACUGUUUGGCUAAAAAAUAUAUCAGACAUUUUGGGUGUGGAAAGUGAGCACUAUGGCUCAAACGUUGAUGAUUAAUAAGAGUUUUACUGUUAAUGGUGGAAUUACAGGAAACACUCUUAUUUAACAAAUCUAAACACUUUGAAAAAUUUGUCCAAAAAUAAAGUCUUUGUGCAAUACUAUCAAAGCCCAUCAAUUUGUCAGUUGAAUGAUUCUAAAAAAGGCAAUAAUUGGAAUUGAAUAUUGCGCAACAAGAAUUAUCCUCACAGAUUUUCGAGAUAGAAAUGAAAUUGAACUCGAAAUUGAACUCGAAAUUGGGGAUAUAAAGGACAUUUUUUUAGGAUUAUGUGUGGACUAAGAUUGAGUGCCUGCUAGGUUGAUAAUGAGUGUUAUCCAGCAUGAUGAUCAUAUUGGGGAAAGCGAUUUUCAAAAGGAAAAUAAAUUUUACAUAUAUAUAAUGUAGGAUAAGUGAGAAUGAUGACAAAAGAGGUGAUAAAGACAAAAAUCGAAAUGGCUUUCAAUACCUCAAAUCUUUCCGAAUUGAAAUCUCGAGCCUCGAAUUGUCCAUAAAAGAGGAUGGAGUGCAAGCUGGGCUGAUAGUGAAAGUUCACCUACUCAUGUACAUAAAAGAGGAUGGAGUGCAAGCUGGGCUGAUAGUGAAAGUUCACCUACUCAUGUACGAAAAAGAUUAAAUUUUUAAAAGACAGAACUUUCUUAGGCUUCACGCUUAGGAAAAUGAAAUGGUGACAGCACCAUUGCUCUCUAGAGACUCCCACCACAAAUUUUCUCCAAAAAACCGAACAAAUUCCUGAGAAAAUUAUGAAUCCACAGACCAAAUGGAUUCUUUUUAAUUAAAAUAUUAAAAAUUUAAGAAAAUAGAAAAUGUAUAUAGAAACAUCAUCAACAUAAAUAUCUUUAGAUUAGUGUAAAAAAAUAGUUUAAACAUCUUUAUUACAACCUCUCGCUCUGUAUGCAAUCUUAAUAAGUUCUACCUUUUAUUAAUUUUGUUGCCAGUCGGAUAGCGAUUACGGGCUGCUCUACCUUAAACCUUCGCAAUCCUAGUGGGUUAAAUUUUAUGAUUCAGAUCGACCGACGUAGGAGACUUGUGGUAAUCACAAUAUGGAGUAUUUGUGCUAAUCCUUAUUUUCAUCCUUUUAUCCAUAAAAAGAAAAGGAAUAUAUUUUCUCGAGAAAUGUGUUUAAUUACAAUGAGCUUAUCUUGUUAGGUUCAUAUGAACUUACAAUUUGGGUCAAUUAUGUAUGGUCUAAACAAAAGAAAAAGCAAAAAAAAUGGGGAUUAACACAAAUACUCCAUAUUGUGAACAAAAGAAAAGGGAAUAAAAAUGGGAAAUCAAAGAUUGGCUUGUAUUUCAAUUUGUUACAAUACAUAAAUAUUAAUACGAAUAUCUAGAUAUAACUUUUUAGUAAUCUCUUAAAAUUUAAAUAAUGUUUUAGAUUUGAUGAAAAAGUGAAAAAGUUAAUUUUGACUUUUAAUGAAUGUGGACAAACAACUGUAAUAGAAAUUAACAUAUAAGUGAAUUAACAUAACUAGAAUUAAUAUAAAUUGCAUCACCAUCAAAGACACCAACCAUAGAAAAGCACUUCACCUGCCUAUUAAUAUUUCGUGUUCAAAACAGGAGCGUAAUAUUUUUAGAGAUCAUGUGGAACACGCAUUGUUCCAUUAUUGAAUUAAUUAAUGUAGGGUAGAUUUAUAGAAUAUACCUUUAGAUUCCCCAAGUCAAAAAAAUUGAUUUUGACUUUUGAUGAAUGUGGACAACAGUAAUAAAAAUUAACAUAUAAGUCAAUUAACAUAACUUAAAUUAAUAUAAAUUGCAUCAUCAUCAAAGACACCCACCAUCUUUACCCACUUAUUAAUAUUUCAUGUUCAACACGGGAAGUGUGUUGAGAGCUCACAUGAAACAUGCAUUGUUCCAUUAUUGAAUUAAUUAAUGUAGGCAUAUAUUAUAAAAUAUACAUUUAGAUUCCUCCAAGGAAUUUGUGGCCAACAAGUCUCCAUGAAAGAUAAUGGCAACUGUUGGGAUUGCGGUGCCUUGAUUUUGAGCUUAUCACUGGCAAAACCAAGUGGAAAAAAGAAGGUUAGGGAUGGGUUCAACGAGGAUGAUUGUCUCUUUUAUGUGAGGUUUCACAAAUUCUGCAAUUUGUCAUUGAGUUUGUGAGACUUCAUUUCAAAAGUAAUGGAACGAUUGUUGCUUGUCAUUUUUUGCAUGCCUUUUUCAUUUUUUAUUUUAUUUUUUAUUUUACUUUUACUUAUUGCUGCUUCUGGUGGUGGAUAUGUGAUGGUGACUGGGGUGCUCGUGUGGCUAGUGGUAGCAGCUGGUGAAGCCUGGUGGUGGUGGGUUGGGUUUGAGGUUUUUGCUGCACCUGAUACAAGAUGUAAGUGUGCAAUAUGCACAACUUGCACCAAGUAGUGCUGGUGCAAGCUGGUGUAAGACACCUUACACUAGCAACUUAUGCAGCAACAUACCACCAUCAUAGUGGUGGCUGAUGGUGACUCAAGUGGAAGCCUGAGAUGCUUGGUGUGGCUGGUGAUAAUGAUGGCUGGAGGCCGAUGGUGGCCAGUGGUGGGCGAUGGUGGUGGCUAGUAGUAACCGAUGUGUACAAAAAAAAAAUAACACUUAACUGAUCACAUUCUAAAAAACCUAGCACUUAAGUGUUCACUUUUAACAACAAGUGGCACUUAAGUGAUCAUUUUAAUAAUAACUUGACACUUAAAUGACUUUUUUUUUAGCACGACUAGCACUUAAGUGAUCACUAGAUAUAACUUAUAGCACUCGAAUAAUCACUCGUGUCUAUUCUAUGUAUAUAGUGGUUUGCAGCAAAACAUAGAAACUAUUGGUUUAUAUAUUUGCUACCAGUUUAAACAUUUGCUCCUGGUUUACAUUCAAUUCAAGUAAAAUAGUUACCACAACACAUUGACCUAAUAUACAUUCCAUCAUCACCGAUUUAUAUUUGAGAAUAAGCAAAAACAUUGUACAAAUAGUAUUUGUCGAAAUCAUUCAUUCAUUCGUUCAAAACAAGUACAUUUCUCAACACAUUUACAACUAUGGCAGUCGGAGAAACUUCUUCUCAUCUUCCAGUACUUUACAUUUCAUCAUAAAGUAGGAUAGACAAAAAAACAGCAACACCAUAAACGCUUGAUAACACUUCCGUUCAAUUUUCAUUUUUGAAACUUCGUUCUUCAAAUGGUUAAUAGAAGAUGCUUGAGCUUGAGCUUGCAUUGAGUCAACAUCGUCCAAGUUGUCUACAAGCGUAGAUGGAGGUUGAUGACAUCCAUCAAGUAGGUCCAAUAUCACCUCUGUGGCUCGGUGAGAGAAUUUCGCAUCGACCCAUUUGAAGUAUUUGCACUUUGAGCCUUCUCUAUAUCGGGCACAUCCAUAGAAUCUUCUUUCGGGAUUCAUUCGAGUCCACGAUGUUCUUCUUGGACUUGGUAACUCACAAAAAUAGAAACGCACGCCUUCUCUUUUGCUUUGGAGAGAGAAAUUUGAGCCGCUGCUAAAAGUCCUGCUCUCCAUUUCCAAUAUUCGGUAGUAGAAUUUUGGGCAAAUCGAAUUAGGGUGUGGGAUUAGGGCUCCAGCGCUUCAAUGGCAUUUUGCUCGAUUUAGGGUUUUAGAUUUAGGGCAAAUGGGGAGACGACGGUGUUUUCGCUGAUUUAAGAGCUCUAUUUUGGGCCAACACUAGAAACGACGUCGUUUGGGGUGAAUUCGAGCUAACUCAACUCUUCGGCGAGACACAUCGGCGAGAAAUAUUAAUAUUUUAAUGCCACGUAUGAUUUCCGGCCAGCUUCGCCGGAGAUGGCACUCAGGUAUCCCACUUUUCUUAAAAUGUAGCACUUAAGUGUACAUUUCGUAAGUUAUGGCACUUUAGUGUCCCUUUAUGUAAAGGCACUUGAAGCAUUCUUUUGCCCAUGUUUAUUAUCCCUAAUAUUUGUUAGUUGACUGGGUGUUUUGUUAAAUACUUCCGCUUGUAUUUAAUUGAAAGAUAAAAAGAAUGGGUCAGCGAUAAAUCCUAAGAUGUCACAAUUUGAAUUGAUCAUUGAGAGAUGUCUGUGCGCUCGAGGUUCGGCGUGUGACAUAACUCCAUUAGGACAAUCCAAAGGAAGCGAGGUAACUAAAAAAUUAACAAAUAGAGCAAGAAAGGAGAGAGAUAAUUAAUUUAUCACUUCCUUUAAUUUUCUUUAGACUUCUCAUUGUUAGUUUCCUUAGUUUCCCUAGAAAUGAUACACACCUCACUGCACAUCAUCAUACCAAAAGUCAACGAAAAAAUGAACUAGACCAAAUUAGAGGAUAUUGUUCACAUGAUAGGCUUAGUUUUCCUACCAGUUUCCAGAAUUACAAGGUUUUGCAUCUCUAGUACUAUCAAGCAACAGGAAGUAGUCUUAUAAAACAUCAUCGUUUGCAAACUAUCAAACAGCCAGAGAGCAUCUCCAAAAAUUGUGCACGGAAUUUAGAUUCCUCUAUAUAAUGGACAGAAACUAAGAGUCCAAAACUCCAAAUUGCUGCCACUGCUCGGAAAGUUGAGCCCUUAGUUGGAUUAUUCUUUUUUAAGAGUUCACCAGUCCAGCAAAUUGUGGAUGCAGUCUGUCAAGACUUCCACUUAAAUUGCCAUAAAAGCCGACGACAAAUUGGCAGAACCAUGGAUUACAGUAGUGGGAAAAGAAAAACUAACCCAUGAGGUUCAAAUUCAAGCCUUAAAGGAAGUUCUUGUGAAAAGAUUUACAUCCCGAAGUGGCUCCCAUUCCAAAAAUUUUGACAUUACUCAUUUUUUAAGUAUCGAAAAAUUAUUGUACCAAAGUGAGUGCCACACCAAAAUUGUGGCACUCGUGCUGUCAUUUUCCUGAAUUUUUCCUAAAUCAGUAAGGUUUCAAUCAAAUGAACUACAGUCCAAAGUAAUCUGCUAUUAAUCGAGAGGUAACUUAUGCUUCUAGUGCGUCCUUAAUUAUGAUAAUCCCUUCAAUGCUUUGGAAUUAAAAUCACGAAUCAAAUGAUCUAACCAGUCUUGAUGUCUGUGUGUUGCAGCAUAUACAAACUAGGAAAAUCCAAACUAAUUAUUGAUGUCGGUGAGAACAUGAAAUUAUUAAGUGGCUUCAUCACCAACUACCAGCAUAGUAGAAGACAAGAAAUAAAUAAAUAAAUAAAUAAAUAAAAGCAAGGAGCAAAGCACCAUAUAAUGAUCGUCAGCAGAAAGAGAAACACUUACGGCGAUUGUCAGUGGUUAUGCACGAGCAUCAGGAGCCUGAGCAUGAAUUUCACUGGCCUUUCUGCGAACGGAACCAUAUUGUUCUGAAUUCAGAGACUUUAAUAGAUCAUAAAUUGACAUGAAGUUCCAUUAUCUUUGAUCAUUCUUUGCAGGGGAAGUAAUGCCCACUUGAGAUCUCAAUUUCCUUCUGCAAAUGGUCCUCUGAUACAGUGCUGCUGUCGCAUGUUAAAAAGGUAGCGCGAGCAAUCAGCUUCAUCCGAAUGUCUUUGCAAGUAGACAGGAUCGUGGUGAACAUGCCAAGCAAGUGAUGGUGUACAGCGAGACCGCAUGACAGCAUGGUACAGCAUAAGCUGCUAAUCGUGGGUCCGAGAAGUGUUUGUCGGAUUUUGGAUGGUCAGCGGCAAAAGGAGCCAGACUGUGCCUCGUGCACGUUAGUUCGAAUGAGAACAUUUAUGGACAAAACGGUUGAUCAAUAACUAGUUGCAAAAUUGUGUUCCGAGAUUACAUCGGGAUUUCAGCUUGUUAAAUGAGUAUACCAGGCCAAGGACUGGUGUAUGUCAAAAGCACGCACGCGAUCGCAGAAUUGCAAAACUGCGGGACUGAUUUUGUAUUGAAGGAGACACCUGAAAUGCCGAACCAAACGCAGUAUAUCACUCAUCUGUCCCAUGUUUGAAUGCUUGUCUUAUAGUCGGUCAACUUACUUUAUACCGUAUUCGCCGACCGGUUUUAGAACUUCGAACAUUCACCACUUUUCAGAUAUUGACUCAGAAAUGAUUUCAUCGGAUGGACAUUAUCAACUCGAGAAAGGUUCGGGUGCAAUUGAGCUUCCUCAUACACAUGGUCAUUAUAUAGCUGUUAUUAAUUAUCAUAUGGAACUUUAACUUACAACACAGACAUUAUGGAAGAAUCCUACUUCUGCUCGACCUCGGUCCCUCCUAUUUAACUCUCCUCACUGCCUCCACCGCUCCACCACCUUACCGCAGCGCCGAUCACCGCUUUAGAUGUCGACAUUGCAUUCACUGUACUAGCAUAUGACCACCAUCACAGAAUCUCCAGCUGAAACCUUUGACCGGUGGGGAGAAGAAUGGAGGAGCCAUGAUCCUGGUCCAUAUGACAAAAGAGAGAGAUUAUGUCCUCCCUAUUCUUGUUGGUUAAAUAUUUUGAUAACGGGUUUGAGUCGUUUUAUGUCUGAGGCUAACCCUUCAAAUAGGAGGACAAUCGUGUCAUUUCCCUUAUUCUAGUAGGAUUUGGGGUGUGGCAUUAGGAUAAAGAUUGGAGAUGAUAUAAUUUUUGUUGGGAACAUUGAAUCCACCCUCACUUAAAGCAAACUUAAGCCAAUAAGUCUUCCUCAUUUGUACCCUAAAACCACAUUGAUAACAAGAUUACCAUUUGUGUACUUUGAUAUUAUUUGUUGGAAGCACCUAGCAGAUUACUCAGUAGAAAUGCAAUAUCUUCACCGGUAGAAAUAUAUCUAGUUGAAUUCACAUUCACUCAAAAAUUCAAACAAACAAGUUAUGAGCCAACUAGAAUUGUUAACAAAUCCACACCACAUCGAUUAUUCAAUGUAGGACUACUAACACAACUUAACAAUUUCUUCAUCACGUUUAAACUUAAUGUUAGACUUGCUACCCUUAAUUCGGGCAUUUCGCAUCAGCAUGUCUCAACUUUAGUUUUUUUGGGAAAAGUGACAAAAAAGUUCUAAACCUAUUGUAUUUAUGAUAAUUUAGGCCUAAACCUUUUAUUAAUGCCAAUUUAAUUCGAAACAUUUUGACCUAGUAUCAAUUCAGUCUUUCCAACUAAUUUUAGCCAGAUUUUGCUAUUGUUGAUGUCAUUUGAUUUCAUGGUACAAUCUAAGCUAAUGUCGAUAACUUUUAAUGAUAUUUUAAUAUAUUUUGAAUUUUAUUGAUUUUAUCCUUUUUCCUUUUUUUUCAUCUUCUCUUGGAGGAAGAAGAAAGGGAGGGAAAAAAAAAUCGGAGAGAGAGAGAGAUGAAUAGAGGUGAGGGGUGGCGAGGGCACGGUGGUGCGGCUUGUGCGAUUAUCACCAAUUUCACACAUUCCCAUUGCUCUGAAACCGUAACUGGCAAUAUAAACAUACCGACAUUGCCACCGCCACCAUCACAGGUAAUUGCACAGCAAAGAACCAAUAGGGGAGCACCUGAAGCUUAGACUUGGCCAUAUUCGAAGUCACCGACAUGCUCUCCCGAUUGAGCUUAGGCCGGAACAGAGCUAAGGCAAUCAAGAGCUCCAAGUUGAGCUCGCUUCAACUGCGGGCUUGCCAUCCAUGUCACAGCGGCUACUACACAAAGCGAGAAACAGAGUUAUCAGUAACUAGCAAGUAGUGAACGGUAACCAAAGUUAUCAUCUUGCUGGCCAUGACAUGUGAAAUAAUUAGAAAUGAUUGGACCACCACCAUAGAAGGGGAUAUUCGGUCAGGAAUAUUUUAUUGCAUUAUGAUGGUCCCACGAUAUGAUUUGUAAGCACACCCCAUUUGCUAAUUACAUCAUCAUCACCUAUCCAAUUCUUUUAAGUCUUUUAAGAUAUAUAUAUUAUUUAACUAGAGGGCCCAAUAAAUAGACUUCAGUACAUAAAACAUCCCAAAAAGCUUGGGGAGAAGAUAAGACAACAUCUAAGUGCACAAAUUAGAAGCACCUGAGAGACCGCUAGACUCAAAACAAAGGAGUCACAUAGCCCUACCAAAUUACAGCACAUUAUUUUUAUGAUACAGACACAAAAUGAAGUUUCUAUUUCAAGAAUCCUAAAAAUCGUCUUCCCUCACACUAUGCGACCAUGUUACAAACAGAAGUCCACAAACAAAAGGAAGAAAAAUGAACCAGAUUCAAAUAUGAGUCCUCCUGACGAUGAUCGGCGCCCCGUACUGAGGCUGCAAGGUCACAAGAACCAUCGGAGCAUGAACAUACGAGGGCGACACCUCGAAGGCGAAUCGCCUAACCAGCAUGGCCAGAACGACCUUGGCCUCAACCAUGGCUAAGUUCUGGCCUACGCAGGUUCUGGGGCCAAGCCCAAAUCCGAGGAACGCUGCCAGGUGCUUCCGGGGCUUCAUGAAUCUUUCCGGGUUGAACUCAUCCGCGUCUUCGCCCCAUAUCUCAGGGUCGCGAUGCACAGUAGAGAAGGCCAAGUAGAGCUCCGUUUUUGCUGGAAUUUGAAGGUCCCCUAGAUGCACAUCUUUAAGGGUUUGCCUCGUCACCGUCACCGCAGGAGAGUACAGUCUAAGGGUUUCAUUUAAUACCAUCGUUACCUAUUCAAAAAAGGGACAGAAGAAAGAUAUAAGUUUAAGUGAACCCAAAAUGUUUAAUUUUUCAGUCAGACUAAACUUUCAAAACUCAGGCAAAUGGAGUGGUGAAGUAGGUUAUUAGGAAACUUUACGUGAGCCGAACAUCAGUUGAUAGCAGUAAGCACGUUCGAAUAGGGAAUUCAGAGCAUUAGAUUGACCCCGAUUGAAGAAUGAGCUAGCUAGGAUAUAAUUAUAUAAUUGAUCGGGACUGUGCCAACAUGUAUAACAUAACAAAUAUUGGAAGAUAGUCUCCAUGUCAUGUACAAUUUCUUCUAUAGGCAAGUGAGACAAUUCAAACUUCUUGCUUGAAUGUGCACUGAAUUUCUUCAUCACACACGUCAGAUUAUUAAAUUACCACCAUCUCAUCCUCGGAUUGGUCCUAGGAUUCGAUAAUGGAGUUUCAAACCUUUUCUUCCAUCUAAGAAGCUAGCCCAACUUCGACAAACGAUGAUUUUUAUUCAUUAGACAGCAAACAACCAAUGAUGAAAACUAAACGUGCCUGUUUGUAGUAAUGUGACUAGUGAGGAAUAGUGAUCAACUUACAGUCUUGAGCUCGUUCAGAUUUUCAGCAGCCGGAAGCCCGGUUUUCCCGCAAACGCGGAUUACUUCUUCCCGGGCCUUGUCCUGCCAUUCCUGGUGCUUUGCCAGAAGGAGAAGCGCCCAAGUGAGGAGCGUGGCCGUCGUCCCUUUUCCCGCGAAGUAAAAAGUCUUGCAUUCGUCUAUGACUUCCUCCACUCCCAAUCUUUCUCCUUCGUGGGAUGAUGUUAGGAGAGCGAGAAAAUUGGACAAAUUCUCUCUCGAUUUCAAGUUGUUCUCGAUCAGCUUCCGGACCGCUUGCCGGAUUUCCUUCUCUAGUCUCCAUCUCUGCCUGUUCUUCCGAGUCGGUAGGAACCUGUGCAUUGAGUGAAACAAGUGAUCGUCUAAUCUUACAUGGGUAUGAAGACUUUAGGCAGAGCUUGAGAGAGAAUUUAGGACUGCUCUAAAAAGUAAAAAGGUAAUGAUUCGUGAUUAAACAAAAGACACGUCAUUGAAUCGUGACUUUUCCUAGAAAUAGGAUCAAGAAAGACUUUUCCCGGAAAUAAAAACGAUGCAAGAUACGUCCUGAGAUACUAUUUGUACAUAUAUAACAACUCAGAAUGUGAGUAAAUUUGUUUAUUGCCUGAAAUGGAGCAAGUUAAAUUGGACCUGAAGCCAGGAAUGUAAAUGUUCUGGUGGGCUUGAGUGAAGAGGUGCAGCUGCUGCUCCUGCAAGGCGAAUAUGCGCUUGCCCUCUUCGGAGCUGCUCCCGAAAGCAGUCCUCGAGAUGACGUCAGCCGAGAGCCCGUUGAGCUCCUUCAGCACCUCCACCUCGAACUCCUCUCUUCCUCCUCGCAUCUCGUCCCACGUUUCCAGCAUCUUGGCCGCGCUCGCCACGAUCUCCGGGAUCCACCCCUACUCAAAAUGAAAGGAAACUCAUGCUGUGAAGUCCGUCCAGAAGCAGACGUGAUGAAGAAAACCAAUCACAGUGCAAAGACUUCGAAUGAAAAUGUGUGCUUCUUCUUUUUUAUGGGAACCAGAGAGUCUUACAGAUUGCUUGUUAAUAGAACUGGUUACCGUAAGGAUGCGCUGCCCUUACGUUGUGUAUGCUCUUUGGCAAUUUGAAGAACAGUUGAUCUUCGCCAAAUUGCCAGGGACCGUACGGCAAUUUAAAGAACACGAAACUAUCUUCUGCUUGGUUUACUCACCGUCAUUUUCAGAUUGCAUUUGCAUCAUUACCUCUUUUACCACAGAAUGCGCAAUCCCUUGCUCCAGAGCUUCAACUGUCAGAGUUGCAAUGUUAAUUUAAAGCUUUCAUUUUUAAUAUUGAAAACAUAUCCCGACUCUAAACCUGUAAAGGAAACCCAACUCAAGAAGUCGUAGUUUGAGUAAGUUUCCUAAUUUGAGUAAGGUUUCUAAAAGGGUUCCUAUUCUGGGUCAAAAUCUUUUCUAUAUAAGAAGCAGGCCUUCUUCGUGAAUUGCAUGAAAGAGGAGCUUUCAGUGUUCAAGCUAUUAAAUCUUGUGUUAAAGCAAGGAAUUAUGAGGGCUAAAUAUCGUUUGAGUUAUAAAGUGUAAUCGUGGGUUACAAAACACUGUAAGUUUUGAGUGAAUCAAGUGCUUUUAGUAAUUUUUAUUGGAUCGCUUGAUUUAUAAUGGAAUCAUGUAGCGCUCCCCCAUCGAGUAGGUCCCACCAACCGAACCAUCCCGUAGUGGACUCAUCUUUGCAGAUGUCUGUUUGAUCUCCUCGUUGAAAUGGAUGCAACAUGGAUUUUGCUUUAUUUGUGGUACAUGGGGUUGUGUUUGCAAAUCCUUAUGAAGCGGUUAAAGGUGUAGAUAUAAUUGGUGUCUUAAUAAGGUCUAGGGAGUUAGUUGGCUUGGAAGAUUUUUAUGGCGGUCUUGCCCAUCACGGGUUGUGGGAAGAGUAGCGGCAAAGUCCAAAUUCUAACGAAGAGAUUGUCGAGCCAAUGUGGAGAUACUUCCUAGUUGAAUGGUUUUUUUAAGUGGUUUCCUAAUAAGAGUAGAUUUUCUAAAAAGAGCUUCCUUUGUUGGAUCGCCAACUUUUCCAUAUAAGAAGUGGGUCUUCUUCAUGAAUUGCAUCAAAAAAGAGCUUUUUGGAGUUCAUGCCAAUAAAUCUUGUGGUAAAUUUUGUAAAUUUGUUUAUGAGAUUAAAAUAUUAUUUCACGAGAAAUUACAGGGAUUAAACGCCAUGUGAAUUAUUUAGUGCAAUUACGGGUUGGGAAAUAUUGAGAUGUUUGAGUAGUUCAAGUAUGGUUGUACUCUCUAUUGUGUCGCUCAAUCUAUCAUGGAAUGCGGUGCUCUCCUAAUAGACUAGGCCCCACCAAUUGAAUAAUGUAAAUCUAAAAUCCAAUUUAUUUUCUUGUUUUGUUUCUUUUAUUGUUUUAGUGUUUGUUUUUUCGCAACAUUUCAUAUUACUGUGCAGUGUGUUGGGUUGUGUAGGACCAAGAUGUCGUGUUCAUAAAUCAAGUCAAACAAUGACAUGGUAUGUAUGCGAUCACAAUUUGAAAAUUUAUACUACCUCCAAUACUCACCUUAACCCUCUCCAUAGUAAAGGCCUGGUUAGCGAUCCGCCGAUGAACGGCCCACUUCUCCCCCACCAGCCCAAAAAUGCCUUGCCCGAACAGCUCUCGAGCCUGCGGGUUGAACUUGAUCUGGUCAUAUGACCUGCCCGUAUUUGUUAGGACCUCUUUGACCAUGUCCGGGUCCGAGAUGCCCAGCCUAGGCCUCGACCCGAACCAAUAUACAAAAGUCCUCCCAUACUUGAGGGACCAGUCGUAGUAGAAAGGAGCCACCCUGUGGAGGAACCUGUGGUCGAACGGCAUGGGCUUCGACUGAGCCUCCGCGAAUAGGUGGUUGAUCUCUGCCGUGUUGCCAAGGAUCGGACGGUAGCCAGGCCCCCGGACGCCUUGCUUUGUGAAGUGGCGCUGUAGCUUUAGCGGGGUAAAGAGAUUGGAGUAUGUGAAUUUCGAGAGGAGGAUGAGGAUUAGCAAGAGGACUGAAACCAGAAGCCAUG